CAAAAUCAACAAAUUUCAAUGGCCGUAGUGAGCCGUUUGCAAGUUUAACGGUGUAGAAAUAUCCAAAUCACGUGAAAUUUUGAUAGAAAAUUCUUUAUACUAUAUAAAACAAGAUCAAUAUCUUUGAUUUAAAAUUUUAAUGUCAUAUUAUUACAUUUUGUAAGAUUUUUAUUUUCAGCCGUUGAUUUUGAGCCCCUUCGUUCACUAGGCAAAUAAUAUCGUAAAAUUAUAAAAUUUAUUUUCUAGGUACUUCAAAUACUCUAGAUCAAGUUUAAUGGAGCCGAUCGACGAUUCGAAAGUCGCAACAUCGAAAAAGAGCUGGAAGCACGGAAGGCUCCGUGCUUCCGAUAGCAUAGUAGCUUACUAUGUAUAUAUAUAUACAUAGAGAGAGAGAAAAAGAGAGAGUUGAGCUAGAAUGCUGUCGAUAGCAAACGAGCUCUGUUGUCACCCAUUUGUUUUCGAUGAUAGAGCCUCCAAAUCGACGAUCGGCAUCGUUGAACAUGAUCUAUACCACUUGAAGUGUUUAGAAAUCAAAUUUCUAAUCUUUUCGACAUCAUUUGCCCAAUGAUCAAAGGGUUUCAAAAUUUGUAAUUUUAAUGGUCGAUAUGAGGCGUUUUCUCGUUUAACGGCGUAAAAAUAUCCAAAUCAAAUGAAUUUUUAUAUCUUUAUAUAAACAUUAAGUGAUACAAACACUCCUGAACAUACGUUAAUUGGGUUUACGUUUACAGCGAAAACUUUCAACUUUGAAGAAAAAGGGACAUAGAUUUUCCGGUGUACGAACCACCCCAACGUGUUCGGGUGAGUCGUUUUUCUGUUGCAACACACGAAUCACCCGACCCGGUGUCGAAGUACCCGGGGUGGUUCUUUCGUUGCAAUCACUUCCCUGAAAGGAUCAGUGAAACCAAAGAGGUGUUACCAGAACAAAAUAAUAUCAAACCACUCGAUGAAAGUGCAAGCUCUUGUUAGUGGAACAAUAAAGUAUUGUUGUGGCUAAAAUGACAAUACGUACUUUGAACGGGUGAGGGAAAUUCAUGCACUAGACUCUAAUCUAGAACCAAAAUCGUACUAGACUCGUCCUAUAUAUAUAUAUAUAUCUCAGGCCGAUGAUAUGAAAAUACUCAUAAUCGAGGGAAUAUGAGUAUUCAAAAGCCAGAAGUCUAAAUAAGGUAAUUAAUAAAAAUAGGCAAUCUAGUAUGAUAAGUUGGUUGAUAGGUGAGUUGGGAUCUCUUGGUGAUAGUAAAAUUCACCCCUGGUGGUAGUAGGAUUGGUGUAUUGCAGAAUAAAUUAAUCGUACUCCGCACCCCAAAUAAAUAAAAAGAAAAAAAAGUUGAUGAUGAAAAUCAUAAAAGAAUAGAAGAGUUGCAGGCGGCGAAGUGAAGGAGGGUAGGGAAAAAAAAAGAGGAGGGGUCGGGUGAGAUGGAAGAUAAAAAAACACAGCUCAAGAAAUCAACAAAGUCCAGUAUCACCACCGCCUCCGCCACUUACACUACCGUUAUCUCUGGUUUCGCCGCCGCCGACGACGCCGAUACUUUUGUUAUCGUUCGGAGUAGGAAAAUCUCUGGUUAUGGUUAAUUAGGGGUUUUCUUUACGGUGCACCGACACAAAGGAAGUGAACCGAAAGUAGAAUACUUUGGUUGGUAAACAGAAAGGAUGCGUAUAUUGCAGAGUAAAUUAAUCGUACUCCGCACCCUAAAUAAAAAAAAGAAAAAAAAGUUGAUGAUGAAAAUCAUAAAAGAAUAGAAGAGUUGCAGGCGGCGAAGUGAAGGAGGGUCGGGGGUAGUUAGUUGCCAAUUUUUAAAUACUCAUGUUCCCACAGAUAUGAGUAUUUUCAUAUCAUCGGGGUCGGAUAUAUAUAUAUAUAUUAACUCGAGGAUACGAAAAUUUUCAUGGUUCAAUAAUCACGAACAUCUAAAAAUCGUUAACCUAAUUCUUUAUAUGCCAAUCCUACUACACCCGGGGGAUCCCAACUCACCCACCAACCAACUUAUCAUAUUAGAUUACCAACUUUUACUAGGCUCCUUAUCUAGAUUGCCAUUUUUUUGAAUGUAUCGUGGUUCGUGAACUACGAUAAUGUUCAAGUGGUGUCAAUCUUAGAUAGGUAUACUGGUAUAAGUGGGCAAUCUAUAUAUGAUAAGUUGUUUUGUGGGUGAGUAUAGUAUCUCUCUGGUAAUAGUAGGAUUGUCGUGUAAAGAAGUAGGUUCUCUGUUUUUUUCUCGUGUUUCUCAGUUCUGAUCUUAUGAUAGCUAUCGUGUUUCCGGAGGCAACGGUGGUUUAACAAAGGUUACUACGUCGGAGUUUUAGCUGCUAGUUGUGUCAAUUUGUACUAGAUGUGGAUAACUUUCAUAACUCUUUGAUUUUAAGUAUUUAAAAGCCGUUGUAACAUGAGAAUGGUUUGCUCAUCUGUGUUUUUAUUUGCCGGCUUUUACUUUUUAGAGUAUUUUUUACUACUAUUUUCUGAACUUUAGUUCUAGUUCUCCAUAUCUUGAAUGAGAUUUAUCACUUUUUUAAAAGAUUAUNCUCUCUCUCUCUCUCUCUCUCUCUCUCUCUCUCUCUAUAUAUAUAUAUAUAUAUAUAUAUAUAUAUAUAUAUAUAACUAGGCUGUAAUAUUAUUAAUAGCACCAAUGACUUGGUGCUAUAAAAUUUCUGCCAUUGGAUUAAAAUGUGUGCGGUUAGGAUGAUGUUGGCCCCCUAGGGUUGGGUGGGUAGUUGGUUAAAUAGUAUAACCGAACGGAUGAAAAUGAUAAAAGAGGUAAAUCUAACGGCAGAAAACUUGAUAGCACCAAAUGUUUCGUACUAUAUAUCGAUAGUAUCCCAGCCAAAUUAUAUAUAUAGAGCUAGGCUGGUAUACUAUCGGUAGCACGAAGGUCUCCGUGCUACCAAAUUAUUUUUAAUGAUGCGGCUUUCCAAUCGAUGAUCGGUUCCAUUAGAUUUAAUCUACACUAUAAAAAAUAUUUGAAAAUUAAAUUUCAUAAUUUUUCGAUGUCAUUUGGCUAGUGAUCAAAAGGUCUCAAAAUUGACAAUUUUAAUAGUAGAUGUGAUGCGUUUGUAAAUUUAACGGUGUAAAACAAUUCAAAUAUGAUAAAAUUUUUAUAGAAAAUUAUUUCACUAUUUAGAGUAAGUUCAAUACCUCUAAUCUUAAAUUCAAGUCUUUUAUCAUCAUUUUUUAUGAGAUUUUUAUUUUCGGCCGUUUAUUUUUAAACUACUCGUUUGGUAGGUAAAUGUUGCCGAAAAAUUAUAAAAUGUAGUUUCCCAAUACUUUCAAUAGUGUAGAUCAAGUCUAACUGAGCCGAUCGUCGAUUUGGAAGCCGCAUAAUUGAAAACAAUUUGGUAGCACGGAGGCCUCCGUGCUACCGAUAGUAUACCAGUCUUGCUCUUGGUGCUAGUUUUUUGACCCUUGGAUGAAGAAAUGUGCGGUUAGGAUGAUAAUGGUCUUCUAAGAUUGAGUGGGUGUUUUGUUGAAUAGUAUAAUCUAACGGGUGAAAAUGGUCAAAGGGAUAGAUUCUAACGGCGGAAAACUCGAUAGCAUCAAGUGCUUAGUGCUAUCGAUAAUAUAUAGUAGCAGGACUCUAUAUAUAUAUAGAACUAGGCUAAUAUACUAACGGGUGGUUGGUUGAAUAGUAUGAUCUAACGGGUGAAAAUGAUCAAAAGGGUAGAUCUAACGGCGGAAAACUUGGUAGCACCAAGUGCUUCGUGCUAUUAAUAGCAUAGUAGCCGAACUCCUCUCGCUACUCGAUCCUCGUCUCUGUAGAGAAAAUAUAAGUAUAGUAUGAUUAAGUAGUAGUAUAUGAGAUAAAUAGUAGGAGUUAGCUAGACUACCUCAAAACGAUAGGGAAACGGGUGCAUUUUACUAUCGAGUUGUCGAUGAUAGAAGCUUGCCCUAAAUUUGAGAUCGCCUCGUGAACCAUUAAUCAUACCAAUUAACAGUUUUAGAAAUCAAAUUUUAAAUCUUUUUCGAGCAUUAUUUGCCUAACAUAAUCAACGGCGUUUCAAAACUUCUAUAAUUUUAAUGUGGAUAAUAGACGUUCUCAUUAAGCGGUGUAAAAUAACUCCAACAAUUGACAUUUUGUUAGAAAUUCUUUAAACUUUUAAAACAAGAUCUAUACUCUGAUCUUGAUUAAAUGACCCUAUCAUGCAUUUUAAAGAAUAUUCAUUCAACACAUUCAUUCUGUUCACUAUCAUGCAUACAAAAAAAGAUCGAAAGUGCUGAAAUUUGAUUUCUGGUAGUUAAAUGGUUUAGAAUCAUAUUUAACGGGAGCGAUCGUCAAUUUGAGCUCUACAUCGAAAACGUAACUCGAUAUAAAAUGCUCGCUUUACUAUCAGAGUAUUCUAGCUCAACUCUAUAACUACUACUAGCUUAUUACCACUAUAUAUAUAUAAGUAUAUACUAUAAUAUAAGUAUAUAGUAGUAGUACUACGGAGGAGGACGGUCGAAAGCAAAGUAGUUGAGCUUCCGUUUUAGGACCCUUGAUGAUGAGAGCGUUCAUCUGUACAUCGUAAAUCAUGAUAAUAUACACCAAUGUGACACUCAAGCGCCUAGGUACGCCUCAAACCGAGGCCGCUACGGUCCCGGAACGGGAGAAGUUUUAGGCCAAGGCUAAAAAAUUGAAGAUCAAUACUUUAUGUUUUCGAUAGUAUAGUAGCACUUCUACACCUGAUAUAUAUAUAUAUAUAUAUUCAUAUAAUAUAUAUAGAUGAGAGAGAGAGAUGAGAGAAGAGAGAGAGAGAGAGAGAGAGAGAGCAGAGGAGCGCAUAUCCUUCUAUACUAUCUAUAGCGGAGCCUGCGUUACAUAGUCACGUUUUGCGAUCUUAGGGUUCAAAUCAACAUCCACAUCGUUAAAACUGAUUAUAAUAUAAAGUUCUUAAAAUAAAAUUUUAUAUUUUUUCGACAUAGUUUACUUUAUGAUCAAACUAUUUCAAAAUUGUCAAUUUUCAAAGGUUACUAUGGCGAGUUUGGAGUUUAACGGCGUAGAAGGAUCUAAAUUUUUUCAAAUUUUGAUAGAAAAUACUUUAAACUAUCUAGAUUAUGGUUAACAUUCUUGAUCUUGAAUUUAAAAGUUCCAUACUCAAAUUUUAAAGAUUAUUCAAUUUUUACCGUCCAUUUUGACAUAAUUUAUUUACUAAGUAAACGAUGUCGAAAAAAACUAAAAUUUUAUUCCUAAGAACUUCAUAUACCCUAGAUCAUAUUUAACGGUGUGGAUCGUUAAUUUGAACACCGUAAGAUCGAAAACAAGAUUAUAGUACCGAAGCUCCGGUACUAUAGAUAGUAUAGUAGCCUAAUUCUAUAUAUAGAACUAGGCUGGAAUACUAUUAAUAGCACCAAUGACUUGGUGUUAUUAAGUUUUCUACCCUUAGAUUAAAAGAUGUGCGGUUACGAUGAUGUGGGCUCCCCUAAGGUUUAAUGGGUGGUUAAUUGAAUAGUAUAAUCGAAUGGAUGAAACUACAACAGAAUUAGAUUAUAGAGACACAUGUUUGGGACACUUUUAUGUAAGUGUCCAAUUUAUGUCAAAACUUAAAAAAAAAUCUACUAAUGCCUAAAUAUAAAACCCAAUCCAACCAAAAAUAAAAGGUUACUCUACUCAACUCACCCCACCCAGCCCAUUCGGCCCGAUUACAAACAGAAAAGAAAAAAAAAAAGAAAAAUCGAUUAUCAUCUCCCAUUCUCUUCUCACUCAAUCCACUGAAAUUCUAAACGAAAAUCCCUUCCUCUCGUUCUCCUCCGCUACCGCAGCCAACGAGGUAGAGUUCCGGUGGUUAGUAAAUGCUUAAAUAAGUGUUGGUAAAUUAGCAGCACUCUUUUAGGUUAUAGCGACACUCUUUAAUUGUCACUAUAUACCUAGCGAUCCCACAUAUAGCAACACUUUUUAAAAGUGUCGGUAAUUUAGCCAGCAGCACUUUUUUUGACCUAUACCGACAUUUAAAAGUAUCGCUAUAAACCGUUUUUGUUGUAGUGUGAAAAUGAUAAAAGAGAUAAAUCUAACGGCAGAAAACUUGAUAGCAUCAAAUGCUUCGUGCUAUCGAUAGUAUCUCAGCUGGACUCUCUCUCACUCUCUCUCUCUCUCUCUCUCUCUCUCUAUAUAUAUAUAUAUAUAUAUAGAGUAGGGCUACUAUACUCUUAUGAGUAGUGGACCCUUAGUACUCAUAAGUUGUUUUCGAUGAUGGAGCUUCCGAAUCGACGAUCCACUCCGUUAAAUAUGAUCUAAGAGUUUUGAAACUUCUAGAAAUAAAUUUCGUAAUUUUUCGAAAAUCAUAAUAAAGUCCAUCAAGCGGCAUAAAAGAACGGUCAAAAUCGAACGACGUCCAAAAAUGGAUGAUCGGAUCCUUCAUUUAAGAUCAGAGUUUGAUUCUUUAUCUAGAUAGUGAAUAAAAUUUUCUAUCAAAACUUCAACUAUUCCGAUUCUUUUCCACCGUUAAACUAGCAAGUAUCCCCAUACGACCGUUAAAAUUAUUCAUUUUGUGAGCUUUUGAUCGUAAGUAAAUGAUGUCGAAAAAUUAUGAAUUGAUUUCUAGAAUGUUUAAAUGCUCUAAAUAACGUUUAACGUGUGGAUCGUCGAUUCGGAGCUCUAUCAUCGAAAACAACUUAUGAUACGAAGCGAUCGUAUUCAUAAGAGUAUAGUAGCCGGACUCUAUAUUAUAUAUAUAUAAUAUAUAAUAUAUAUAGAGAAGAGAGAGAGAGAGAGAAGAGAGAGAGUUCGGCUAUGUGCUUGUAAAAACACCAAGCACUUGUACUGUAAAUUUUUUACCGUAAAUCUACUCUUUUGAUCAUUUCUACUCGUUAGAUCAUACUAUUCACCAACGCGCUACUCAAAUCUCGGGUNNNNNNNNNNNNNNNNNNNNNNNNNNNNNNNNNNNNNNNNNNNNNNNNNNNNNNNNNNNNNNNNNNNNNNNNNNNNNNNNNNNNNNNNNNNNNNNNNNNNNNNNNNNNNNNNNNNNNNNNNNNNNNNNNNNNNNNNNACAAUUUGUUCUUUUGCAGAGUAUAGCCUGGUAAUUUUAAUGUUUAAAACUUUGGGAAACUAAUAAUCCGUUUACUACAGCUUUUUUAAACUUUAAACUAAAGAUUUAUGAAGUUCAUCAUAUCUAGUACAAGUUGCCAAGGCUAGCAGCUAAACCUCCGAGGUAGUACCUUUUGUUUACCCACCGUUGCCUCGGGCAAACGAUAGCUAUCAUAAGAUCGAGUUGAGAGAGAGAGAGAGAGAUAUAUAUAUAUAUAUAUAUAUAUAUAUAUCUCUCUCUCUCUCUCUCUCUCUCUCUCUCUCUCUCUCUCUCUCUCUCUCUCUCUCUCUCUCCAACUAAAAAACAUCUUUUAAGAUAAGUGAUAGAUCUAUUUCUAGUUAUUGAGGCUAAAAUUUAACUUCCUAGGCUAAUAGGUAAAACUUCUGCAGCAAGUUAAAACUGACAAAUAAAAUACAGGGAAACUACCUGAAAUAAUACUAAAGCUUUUUAUUGCUUUAAAUAAAAAAUCUUCAAAGUUUAUGAGAUUUAGUAUAAAUUGUCUCACCCAGCAGCUAAGCCUUGGGAGUAGUAACUUUUGUUAAAUACUCACGCUUCUUGGGUUAUGAGUAUAUAUAUAUAUGCGUAAAGAUAUCCAAAUCAAUUGAAUUUUUGUUAGAAAAUUCUUUAAACUAUUUAAAACAAGAUCUAUACUCUUGAUAUUGAUUACAAGACUCCUAUCAUCAUUUUUUAAAGAAUAUUCAUUUUCAGCCGUUUAUUUUUGUGUCCACUCGAUGGAUAAGAGAACAAUAUCGAAAAUAUAUGAAAUUUGAUUUCUAAAUACUUCAAGUGGUAUAGAUUAUGCUCAACAAUGCCGAUCGUCGAUUUGGAGGCUCCAUCAUCGAAAAUAAAUGGGUGGUAAUAGAGUCCGUUUGCUAUCGAUAGUAUUCUAGCACAACUAUAUAUAUAUAUAUUCAACGGCUGGUCAACGAGCUAUUUUGAGUUUGAAAGUAAUUUGCACUUCAAUUAAGAACUUAUCAGUUGAGCAAAGCCAUUUACGAGCUAAACCUAAUCUGACCAGCGUAGACAAUUGUAUUUAGUCAAAGUCGAUCAGUACGUAUUAAAUAUAUAUUUUCCUAGCCACUUUAAUUCAUGUUCCUUGGACUCUUUAAUUAGUUCAUGCAUAUUCUCCUUAGGGAGAUUAAACUAAAAGUAUCAAAAUUAAAUAACUCCACAUUAAAUUAAUUGAAUCCUUGAUAUAGAAGAGCCUCAUUUGUUAUAUUAAAAUCCCUAAAUUUAUUGUCAAAAGCAAUUUACCAAUACAAAUCCAUGUUUGACUAGAUUCUCACACCUUUAAGUGGACUUGCCUAUUAAUUGUGUACUUGAUACAAAAUAAUACAUUAGGGGGGAAAAAGAUGAUUCCCAUAAUAAUCAAUAACUAUAUAUGAUUGGUGACUAUAGAUUGCAAGCUCACCACACAUGGUGGUCCAAAUGCAAAUCACCUAUUUACUUUAUGAUCUUAGGUAGGGACACCCCAAAGUAUACUCUUAGAAGUGUUAAUCUAUUCAAAAUUUAGAUUAAUCUUACCAAUUUCAUGCAAUCAUAGAAAUAUAAACUAGAAGACGAAACUUUGGAGUUAGGGUUCAACUUUAGCAAAAAUAAAAUAGAAAAAAAUUCAAUCCCAACUUCGAUCUUUUAAUAACAAAACACUAAUCUCGUUACAAAAGAAGCUAUUUCAAAAAUCAGACUUUAGUUGCUCAGUGAGUUAUCAUAGUUACACGAUCUAUCUCCGAAUCCUAUAAAUCAAAUCGCGGUAUGCAUCACCUCGGGGUAUGCUUUGGAGCACAUCGAGCAUUGCAUGAACUUAAUUAAUUAGGUGCUUGAUCCUCCACAUUAGCAUUUUAAUAAAGGGGAAAACACAUGCGAGGGGCAAAGAUGCCACCAAAAGAGCGACGAGGGCAAAAUGGUAAUUUCACAACGCGUGGCGUGCUGUGACUGCAUGAUCAUAAAGGCUGGGGUCGGAAGAAGCGGAAGUGUAGCAGCAGCAAACCUCCCUCUCACUUAUCAGGGCGACUUUUCAAAAGUGUAUAUAUGUAUUAUUAUUAUUAUUAUUAUUAUUAUUAUUAUUAUAUAUCUACACAUACAUGGGAAAAAAGUUACAUUACAAAAAAAAAAAAGAAGAGAUUUUUUAAUUAAUUAAUAUUAUCCCUUUUGAGGUGGGUUUUUUGCAUGCGACCCCCUUUGAAAUAUCAAUAUUGCUCCCAUGAACUUCAAUUAAUUAACUCCAUGUGGGGUAGUUUGGAAAGUUUUAUAAGAAUCUGUUGUUAUAUUUUACUUUACUAUCCAAUAUAACAAUAUGUAUUCAUUUAACAAUAUGUCUUUAUAGUGAUAAUAAAAAGAGAGUCACUGAAAGAAUGACAAAGUGAAAUUGUGUUAAAGUAACAAAAAGACAAAUUGAUCGCUUUUUUCCAAACAUAUAUAAAUUGAAUUGCUAGCUAGUAUAGGUUAUUAGAAGCAAGGUCUUUUAGAAUUGUUCUCAAGCUUAACCUCAGCUUACUAAAUAAUUUUGAUAGAUUUAAUUGAUCUAAUAUAUUCCUAUCAAAAAAAAAUUUGGUAAUAUAUAUAGAUAUAGAACUAGACUAGAAUACUACCAAUAGCACCAAGCUAUCAGUGCUAUUAGAUUUUUGGUCAUUGGAUGAAUGAAUGUACGGUUAAAAUGAUGUGGGUCUUCUAGGGUUGAGUAAGUUGUUAGCUGAAUGUAUAAUUUAACUGAUGAAAAUAGUCAAAUGGUUAAAUCUAGCGGUGGAAAACUCGAUAGCACCAAGUGCUUGGUGCUAUCGAUAGUAUCCCAGCUGGACUCUCUCUCUCUCUCUCUCUCUCUCUCUCUCUCUCUCUCUCUCUCUCUCUCUCUCUCUCUAUAUAUAUAUAUAUAUAUAUAGAGAUCAUAUACAUAUAAAAGUACCAAGUCAUUGGUGCUUGUAAGUUUUUGGCCCUUCGAUUAAGGGAUGCGCGGUUAGGAUGAUAUGGGCCCCCUAGGGUUGAGUAGGUGGUUGGUUGAAUAGUAUAAUCUAACGGAUAAAAAUGAUCAAAGGUAUAGACCUAACGGUAAAAAAUUUAUAAGCACCAAGUGUUUGGUGCUUGUACAAGCACCAUAGCCGGACUCUAUAUAUAUAUAUAUAUAUAUAUAUAUAUAAUAAAUAAGAGAGGAAACUCACCAAGAGGCUUAAUUGAUUAAUGUGCUAUAAAUGAACAGAAGAUCAUUAGUACAAGAUUAGGCACGUGCGGGAGCAUGCACGUACAACAAGCGUGCCAAAGCAUGCAAGUACUCCAUUAAGGAAGGCAUAUGUUAUUUUCCACUUUUUGUGGUACCAAACUCACCUGACCAUAUCUCCUUUUUAAUGCGCAAAGGCGCCAUUGUCAAUAAAGCAAGAUUCUAAGCUAAUUAAACCCCCAUAACCUUCAACAACCUAAGAUCCUUAAAAAACAAAAAAGAAAGAAAAGAAAAGAAAAUUCUCGAACGCCACCUUAAAAUCCCCUUCAAAUAUUGUUACUUCUUAUUUAAAGCAUUUCUAUUUAUAUUUUGUUCCUAUACUUUGUCUAGUCAAAAGGUUUACAAUUGAAAAAUACUGUAUAAAUCUGAUAUCNAUAUAUAUAUAUCAAAUGCUUUGUGCUAUCGACAGUAUUCCAGUUGGACUCUCUCCCUCUCUCUUUCUCUCGAUCUCUCUGGACUCUUUCCGGCUGGAAUACUAUCAAUAGCACCAAACACUUAGUACUAUCGAGUUUUCCACAGUUAAAUUUAAUCAUUUGACUAUUUUCACCCGUUAGAAUUCUCAGAGAAUGAGACCUAUAUGUUUUCUGAUGGAACUACAUAAAAUAUAUUGUGACUAAUUCAUUGUGAUAUGCGGAAUCCAAUAAUAUGAUAUAUUCUUUUUUAUCGUAUUUUUUUCAUUGUAAGUAAUGCAAUUUCUUUAUAAUCGUAAACAAAAAUCUAACUCAUAAGAAAAAGAAAUUGUUUUAUUACCAGAGUUGGGCCCUUUUAAUUUACAGUAUAAGUCCUUGAGUCAACUAUAUCCAAAUAUAAACCUAAGGAUCAAAUAUAAGGCAUCACAAGAAAGGAAUGUUCCAUCAAUUCAAAGUCAUUAGAAGAUAAAAAAAAAAUAAAAAGUUGACUAAAUACUCCUCACUUGGAUCUAAACCCACUUGUUUUCUUUGCUUUCUCACCUGUUGAGAGAAGAGUUUCCCCUUCCAACUCCCCCUCUAACUAUAGCCACACAUUUUAAGAUCUAGUCCUUUCUAAAGUCAAGGAUUCAUUAAUGAAUCAUAAUGAUAAUGAUGUUACAUUAAAAAAAACUUAAACCUUAUUAUUAUAAGUUAUAAACUCAUAAAAUACUUCUCUAGAGUGUUAUAGGCAACUUUUGUAUAUUUGUAGGCCAUGAAAUUAUGUAUGGCCUCUAUAUUAUUAUCCUGACUUUUCACACUGUAAUCUCUGGUCCUUAUACUUUUUCAAUAAAAUAUUUUAGUCGCUGAGCUUUUACUUAUAUUAUAUUUUAGAAUAUAAACAUUAAAUUUUCUCACUUUUAUUGUGAAAUGAUCUUUUUAGCCUAUAUGGGAUUAUGAAUUAAAAUAAGUGAGGCAUUUUACUAAAUAAAUAAAAUAAUCAUUUUUACGAAAAAGUUGCAUUAUUUUUCUAUAUCAAAGCCUAAAAUAUACAACUAGAGUGUUUAAUUCUCUGUUUGAAAUUUGUGGAUCAAAUUUGUUGAACACAGCGAAAAAAUAUGGUAAAAAAAUGCUAUUUAUUUACAUAAGUAACAACAUGUCACAUCGAUUGUAGUAGCUUAGUUCAGCUAUAAUUUUUUCAAUUUUAUUAAGAAAAAGAAAAAAAAAUAUGCAUGUUUCUAUUUCUAGUCUAAAAAUGUUAGAUAAUUUUCAAUACUAAAUAAAUGUAUGCUGAGUUUCUAUUUCAGUCUCGAACUUCUUAUUUGAUUUUUAUUCUUUAUAUUUACUUAGCAAGAACGUUAGAGCGAAAAAUCAUAUUUUUUUAAGAAACAAAAUAAAUUAUAUCGUAACUAAAAUAUAUUAUUUUAUCAAAUACAAAUAUUCAAAUCUUUAAAAAUAUAAAAAAAAAUUAGACUCGUUACUUUCCAUCUUAAUAUAUAAGAUAUAAAAUACAAAUUGCAAUGUUGUUAAUAUAGUAAAGGUAGUAGAAUCCAAACACAAGUACACAAUCCGUAUCCUUUAGUAUGAGCCUACACAGGUUUUUCCUUUUCUUUUCUUUUUUUUUCUAUUUGAUGAUGUUAUACUUAAAAAAAAAAAUUAAUUUCAUAUAUAUUCCUACAAACAUAAUAAAUAAUAGAUAUAUAUAUUUAUAAUGUUCAAUUAAUUUUUAUAUAUUGUCUCUAUAAAAAUUCUGAUAUUUUCAAAUAUGUUCAUGUUGUUAGAAUCCGUUAGAUAAAUUUAAUUAAUCAUAACUUAAAUAUUUAAUACUAAUUAAUUUUUAAUAUUUUUAUUUUUUUAUAUUAUACUGUUGUGAUUUUUGAAAAAGAUAUAUUUGUGAUAGCAAAAUUGAAAAUAUAAAUAGUUCUCUAGCGGUUCUUUAAUAGUAACAAAUUAAAAGGAUAUAUUUAAAAAUAUCAGAACUUUUGUAAGAACAACGUAUAAAAGUUAAACUUUAUAGUGAAAUAUUUAUAAUUUACUAUAUUUAUAAAAACCUUUAUAAAAUUAAUUUAAAAUAAAAAAUAAAAAUAAAACUAAAAUCAGAAAAGGUAAGAUGUCAUCCCUGGUCCCCUCCUCCUACUUCCCACCCGCUUUCCAGAGAGAGAGAGAGAGAGAAAGUAGAGAGAGAAGGGAACAGACAGCAACAGCGAGAGAGAGAGAGAGGGAAGAAAGCAGAAGGCGGGCAGCGCUGAACAGCAGGCAGCGCCGCACCAGCGAAAGCGACGGCUGGCUGCUGCGCCUAAAAAUCUUAAAAUCUCCUCCUUUUUAUUCCCCUCGGAAGCACCCAAACACAAAGCCAAAAAUACAAAAACAAAGGAUAUAAAAAAGGAAAAAAAAAAAAGAAAAGAAGAAAACAACAGGAAAAAAAAAAAACACUCCCACUCAACACCACCACCACCCAACUCCACCUCCGCCCAACAACACUCACCCACUCACACCUACAACUCUCUUUUAGAGAGAGAGAGAGAUGAGAGAGAAAAAGAUAUCUACUACUAUUUGAGAGUGCAGGAUUGUGUCGAAAACUUAUCCUGCCGUGUUUUUCGCUGUUAGAUCUACUCUUUUGAUCAUUUUUUUCUGUUAAAUCAUACUAUUCAAUCAAUCACCCACUCAAUCCAAAAGGGCCCACAUCAUUCUAACCGUAUAUCUCUUAAUCUAAUAGCCAAAAACUUGGUAGCAUCAAUUACUUAGUGCUAUUAAUAGUAUAUUAGCCUAGUUUUAUAUAUAUAUAUAUAGCGAGAAAUAAUAAUAUAAAAAAUUAUUUUUUAAAAAAGUAAAAUAUUUUAACUAUUUUUUAUUAUGCUUAUUAAUUUUUUAAAAUUUUAUCGAAAAAAUUCCUUACUAAUUUACAGUAUAGAGAAUUUUGAGCUGUGACGUUGGUGUGGAAACUGUAUCGUACCGAUAUUUUAUUGGCAUGAUAUGGUGCGGUAAAUAUGGUUGAUAUCUAUGGACUAAAAUUGGACUGUUAUUAGUGUUGCCACUAUUAAAUUACUAUUAUUAUUAGUGUUAGACUAAAAUUAGACAUAAAUUUUUAUAAAUAAAAUUCUGUUUUUUUUAAAAUAUUUACACUCGAUAAUUAGAUCCUCUAAAAUUUAUUAAAUAAUUUGAAUUUUCUUUUCAAAUGAAUUGGACAAUUGUUUUAUUUUUAGUUUAUGUUUUCUUGUAAAUAAUUUUUAAAAUUUUAAUACUUUUAUAUUUUUUUAAAAUUCUCAAACCAGUAACUUGGAGAAUCGUCAUGCUAAACUCUUCAAAAUACUUUACUUUAUUUCUUAUUUUUUAUGUUAUUACUUAAGGUAUUUAUUUAUUUUUUUUACCUACACUAUGCACCUUUAUUUCAUGUGCACCAUACAUUUAUCUUACUAAAUAAUAGUAAAAUAAUUUGAAAAAUGUAAAAAGAGCUCAAUAUCAAACUCCAAAAAGUUUGAAGAUCAAAAACAUAAUAAUAAUAAUAAUCUAAAUAAAAGUUGAGUAAAUAGUAAUGCAAAAAAAAGAAAAAAAGAAAAAAAAAUUUUUUUAAUAUUAUAAUAAUAUGGGUAAAUUUCAAAAAGCAUUCCUAUUAAUUUCGCACUUUCUCACUUUAAUACUUUAUGAUUUAAAGUAUACCAAUUUAAUAUCAUGUAAUUUUUUUUUUUUUUCGUCGGCCUAUUUAUUAAUUUUUCGUUAAAUCAUAUGCAAAAAAUUUCAGAUAUUUUAUAUAUAGUUUAUAUCGAAUAUUAAUUUUAGUACUCUUUAGUUUUAAUUUUGUCACUGAUUUAAUAAAAAAAUUAAUAAAAAAAUAAUGAAAAAAAAAUACUGUAUACGAAAGUGAUAUUUUUUAAACCACAGGAAUAAAGUGGAAACCGCCCGAUGGUGUUUGAAGAUUUUUUAAUAAUAAUCAUAAUUAAGAGAGAGAAAGAGAAAAAUAAAAGGAGAGGAGAGAGAAUAGAGAGGAGUAAGGAAUCGAAGGGUAGAGAGAGAGAGAGAGAGAGAGAGAGGCGGCGAAGAGUUAAUAAUCACCAUCAUCACACGACACCAUUUUAAUUCCUCUCUCUCUCUCUCUCUACACCUCUUUAUGAGCCUCAACAACACCUCCUCCUCCUCCUACUCGUACGCAGCAGCAGCAUCAUCAUCAUACAAGGAGGGGGGAGGGGAAAAGGGCGCUGCUUUUUAAUCAAACUCCUCACCUCGCCCUGUGUUGUUUGUGUGCAAAGGUGAGAGCUUUGGCCAAUUGGGUUCCUCGUUUCAACGGUGUAAUCCUCGGAAAGUGGAUGCUUUAAUUUGAGGUGGUUUUGAGGUGGGGAAAGAGAUAAACGAGAUGAAGUUUAUGAAGCUGGGCUCGAAGCCUGAUGCGUUCCAAUCCGAUGGGAGCGACGUUAGGUGAGAAAAAGAUCCAAUUUUUAUCUCUUCUCUUCUCUUUUUUUUUUUUAUCCGUGUUUGUACAAUGCUUGUUAUUGCAUUACAUAUGUUCAUUUUUUUUUAGUUGGGUUUUGCCUAAAAAAAAAAGAUCUUUAUUUGAGUGCAUUUUUUGUGUUCGUUUUUUCCUGAAUUAUUUUUGUGGUUUUUCUUUUCUUUUUUUUUUUUUUUUUUUUGGCACAUUGUGAUCUUUUUUAAUGUCAUUAAUUGUUUGACUCUGUUCUCCCUGUUUUAUUAUUAUUAUUAUUAUUAUUAUUUAUUAUUAUUAUUAUUUAUUGUCUCUUUUCUCCUCUGUUUUUUUUUUUCUUUUCUAAAAAAACUUAGUGAAACAUCAGAACGAACAAAGGGGUGAGGUGAGUUUUGGUCAUUUUUUUAGUGGAUGGGCUUGGAAUUAAUAUGAGGGGUAGUAUUGAGAGAGAGUUAAAUGUUGAUUGUUUAGGAGAUGGUUUCAUAUUAUGGCAAAUUUUAUAUUUCUUUAUAUUUAUAUUUUUUACAUUUUUGUUGAUGUAAUUUGAAAAAAAAAAAGGGAAAAAAAGUAGCUCCUUUCAUUGUGGGUUUUGUUGAGAUACUUUUGGAGACUUUGAUCUUCUUGAGUUGCAGAUCUUAUUGAGUAUUUUUCUUCUUAUGUCAUUCUCUCUUGUGUGUGUGUCUCUCUCUCCCCUAAUGCUCUCUAAAAAAAAAAUAAAAGAAAAUGUCAUUUUGGCUACUUGCUCCUGCUUUUGGGAUUUCAUAAAAAUGGUUCCUUUUCAUGUGAUCAUGUGUGAUUAAAAAAAAAGAAGAAUAAAAAAUAAAAAAGAAGUAUCAAAUACCAACUUAUGACAGUUGUGAGUUAUUAACUCUAGUCACUUAAACCUUUGUCCUUUUUCUACCAUCUUUCUCACCAUUUUUUUUUUUAUUUUGUUUGAUUGCUUUUCUUGGUUGAGUUGUAAUAUCUCUUUGUUUCUGUGGUAUCAUGUAUUUAUCUAUAAUAUAUUUUCUUUUUGUCAAAAAAAAAAAACUUAAUUUGUUGUUACACUGCAUACUUUUCAAUCCUUGCAAACAUAUUUCCUUUUUAGUUUGUUAAAUUUCCAGGCUUUUUAUUCUUCUUAACUAGAUUCUCCUACUAGCUAAGUUGUAUAAAAGAAGUGCUUAGUCCUGGGUAACUAGUUCAUGAUAUAUUAAAUCCAAAAGUUUAUUAUUUCCGCGUAAUGCUUUACUAUAUAAAGAUAAGGACUGUAAAGCAAUUUUAACUUCACAUUAGAGUUGCUUACAAUUCAUCAUUGUUGAGUUGUUACAAAGAGAAGUUAAAAAUAAAAAAUUAUGUACUGUUUUUUUUAAAAAAAAAAAAACUUUUUUGUGUCCCAUGAUUCCUGUUUCAUUCUGGUUGUGUGUGAACAUUUUUACUUUGUUGCUGAUUUCAUGUCUGAAUCUUUAAAAUUACAUUGCCAUUCUUUUGUUAGUUGAUACAAUGCUUAUCUAUUCAUGCAGGUAUGUUGUUUCCGACCUAGCGACAGACGUUGUCGUGCACGUCGGCGAAGUCAAAUUUUAUUUACACAAGGUAAAUUUUCCUUUCCGUUGCGCUCGCUAAACUUAAUCUUGUCACAUCAGCAAUAUUUAUUGUAGUAUCAUCACUGAUUCUUUAAAACUUGCAAUGUUUUUUUUAUGCAGUUUCCGCUUUUGUCGAAGAGUAGCCGCCUCCAAAGGCUGAUUCUCAAGUCCAGUGAGGACGGCACUGAUGAGGUCUUCAUGCACGAGUUCCCGGGCGGCCCGAAAACUUUUGAAAUCUGUGCAAAGUUCUGCUACGGGAUGAUCGUGACCCUCAACGCGUACAAUGUGGUCGCCGCCAGAUGCGCUGCGGAGUUCCUCGAAAUGACCGAAGAUGUCGAAAAGGGGAAUUUGAUUUUCAAGAUCGAAGUUUUCUUAAAUUCUAGCCUCUUUCGCAGCUGGAAAGAUUCUAUAAUUGUUCUGCAGACUACGAAAGCUUUACUGCCCUGGUCGGAGGAAUUAAAGGUGGUCGGUAGAUGCAUCGAUUCGAUCGCUUCGAAAACGUCGGUGGAUCCUUCUAACGUCAGCUGGUCUUACACCUACACCAAGAAAUUGAAUGAAAUAGUCGAAGCCCAGCAAAGAACCGUCCCCAAGGAUUGGUGGAUCGAAGAUUUGUGCGAGUUGGACGUCGAUCUUUAUAAGCGAGUGAUGGUCGCCGUUAAGUCGAAAGGGAGAAUGUCUUCUGAUUUGAUAGUGGAGGCCCUUAAGGCUUACGCGGUUCGAUGGUUACCCGACUCUUACGACGCGCUACUCGCCGACGACUACACAAAGCGGUACAAGACAUUGGUCGAGACCAUAAUUUGGUUAUUGCCGUCCGACAAGGGUUCCGGCUGUUCGUGUAGAUUUCUCUUGAAGCUAUUGAAAGUCGUUAUCUUGGUCGGAGCGGGUGAUCUGCUGAAGGAAGAGCUCAUGAAUCGGAUUAGCGCGCAGUUGCACAAAGCUUCGGUGAAGGAUUUGUUAAUUCCCAUGAAAUCGCCCGGCGAUGAUACCAUCUACGACGUGCAACUCGUUCAAAGCCUUGUUAGUAGAUUUGUAAUGAGAAGUGGGCUAAAUCAGGACACGGAUUUUGUCGAGAAGAGCGAGAGCGAGAUGAUUGAAUUCAACUUAGAGCACGAGUCUUUGCUGGCGUUGGGGAAAUUGGUUGACGGUUAUUUAUCUGAGAUAGCCUCCGAUCCAAAUCUUUCGAUUUCUAGCUUCGUUGAAUUGGCGAAGACGGUGCCUGAAACUGCUAGACCAAUUCAUGAUGGCCUAUACACAGCUAUUGAUAUCUAUUUGAAGGUAUGCUCGCGAAACUUAAACAUAUUGAUUGCAUUUAUUUAUUUAUUUUGUAUAAGAAAAAUGGUCGGUAAUUUCUAUCAACACCUUCUACUCUUGAAACUGCCGAUGCUCUUUUCCAAUUGUAUUUGUGUUUUAGCUUUGCAUCAUUAAGUGAAUUUUUAUCGGUGAUGUCCAAUUGAGUUGUUAUGCAAUAGAUGUACAGUGCAAAUUAUAGUUGGAUGUAAACAAAAUGACUUCUCAAUGUCUCUUGUAAGUGAUUUAGGAGAAAAUGAAAAGGGAAUCAUCAUCUUUUUAUCGGCCUAUUUUCUUUCACAAAGGGUCAAUUUCUUGCUAUUUGAGAUAAUGCUUUAUUUUGAUAUCUCGCAUAGUUUGUUUAAUUAUGUGUAGAUCUUACUUGUUUCUUUUUCUCGCUUGUCAUCAGGAGCAUCCGAGCCUGACGAAAGCUGACAAGAAGCGGAUUUGCAGUCUAAUGGAUGUCAAGAAGCUCUCGGCAGAAGCGUCGCUCCACGCGGCACAGAACGAGUGCUUACCGCUCCGAGUUGUGGUGCAGGUGCUCUUCUUCGAGCAGUUGAGAGCCGCGACCAAUGCCCUAGCUGCUCCGACCACCGAACCAUCACACAACAGCUCAAGAUCCACAGCCGAAGUUGGAGCAGAAUGGGACCAACGGCAAGUCCCCGAUAACUCGAAUUCUUUAAAGAUCCAACCCGGGAGCUCGAAAAUCGAGGAUGAGGGGCGAAAAAUUACCGACCAACAAAAGAAGAACCGAAAUAGUAUCAAGGAGCGGGGCGGCGGGCUUUUGCUGCCGUCCAGGUCGAGGAGAAUAUUCGACAAGAUAUGGCUCGGGAAAGGGCAGGGGGAGAACAGUAAGAGUUCGGAGACGUCCGGGAGUUCGCAAAGCCCGCCGCCUUCUGCAAAGCCGCGAGAUGGAAAAUCUUCGGGCGCUUCGUCGAGGAAUCGGAGGCACUCGGUUUCGUAGAUCUUUCUCUUGUUCUUUUGUACAGCAAAAGUUAGAAGUGCAUUGCUCACUCCCUCUCUCUUUCUCUCUCUCUCUCUCUCUCUCUCUCUCUCUCUGUGAUGAGAAGGGAAUGGAGGGGUGUUUAAGCAGUUGAAAUCUGCUGCUUUUGUAUGAUCAUGAUCUUUGUAACUUUAGUCUGAUGUAAGCUUAAAGAAUUUGCUGUGUUAGGUUGUUCUGGAGCUCUAUCUAGCAUAGGCAUUUCACUGAGGUUUCCACCUUUUGUUGUUGAAAGAUAAAAUUGAGAUCAAAUGCAUAGAGCAUUUGGUUGGUUUGUCUACAUUUGAAUUAACAGCUUAAUCUUAUUCUCAUCUUUGGGCCUGUUUGUAAUGGAGUUUGUUGCAGUUAUAUUCCCUAUGGCUUCGAAAUCUGAUUCGGGUUUGUUUGGCCAUGCUUCUGCUUUGCAUAAAAUCCCGCGGUUGUGUUUAUUAUAUGGAAGCAAUUUUCACUUUCACUGCAUCAGCUAAGCUGAUGCUUCCCCAGAAUUUUACUCCUACACAGAAAGUGAGAUUCCUCUGUUUUUGGUUUUGGAACUUGAAUAGCAGUAGUACAUCAGAUGCUGGAGAAUAUUUUCUCGUGUUUAGGAUCAGUUUGGUUUCUUCUUGGAUAAUAGUAGAAAAUUAUUUUUUGAAGAAAAAAGGUUUUUGUGAAAUUCUUCUUUUCUACUUUCUGUUGUUUGGUUCGACGGAAAAAAGAAAAUAAUUUUUCUCCUAAUGAAAAACAGUUUUCAUUUCUAUUUCGCUUAUUUGAUUAGUUUUGGUAUAAAAACAUUUCUACGAAAGGAGGGUGUGGUCACUAGCCUUUUAAAAUUUAAUAUAAUUAACACAAACUUUUUACAAUAUAAAUAAUAAAAAAAAUAAAUUUUAAUUAUAUUUUGGUAUAGAUAAAGUGGUUUGAUAAAAAAGAUGGAGAUCAUAGAGAUAUGGAAAUAAUUCUACCUUGUAUAUAUAUAGAAUUAGGCUACUAUAUUAUUAAUAAUACUAAGCGCUUGGUGCUAUUUGAUUUUCGACCUUUGGAUAAAAGGAUGUGCGGUUAGAAUGAUAGUGACUAUCGAUUAGGAUGAUAACAGUCCUCUAGAAUUAAGCUGGUGAGUGUUUGAAUAGUAUUGUUUGAAUAGUAUGAGCAAACAAGUGAAAAUAAUCAAAUGGGUAAAUUUAAUAGUGAAAAACUCGAUAGCACCAAGCGUCCCUAAAAUACAGCAAUUUAAUAUUUCUCUAACCAUAUUUCUUUUAACUAAUUAUUAACUAACCAUAAUUGAGGGUGAUAACACAUCAGUAUCUUUAGUCUAUGGUAUAUUUUGGUAGUUUACUCCAACAUUACUAGUAAGCUUCCAAGCCAUGCACUGCCCCUCUCAAUUAAUUAGUUUGGGUAAUAAUUGGCUACAACAUAUACGUUUUUUGAAGGGAUACACACACAAUACUCCCUCAAAGGAGAAUAAACAUUGAAAGAUAAAAAAGCCUAGUACCUGCAGUUGCAAUCAAUGUAAAAGAAUAAAACAAAUCACUUCUCACAAAUUUCAUUGCAAAUCAGCUAUUUUAUCACAUUUUCACACAAGCAUAAGGUCAGAUCAAUAAGAAACAACCCAAGCACACGAAAAACCCAAUUUACCGGCAUAUAGAAAAGCAUAAGACAUUACUCAAUUUAGAAGCAGCAUUCGGACAUCUUAGAUAAUAAUAACAAUCUGGAAAAACCAGGAAGUGCGAGCCCUUCAAUACAAAGGUAGUAAAAAGUGCGCUCAAUCGUCAUAUAUUCUUAUAUUCAUUUAGGUAGAAUCACACUAAAAUUGGUUCUUUUGCGACAAUCCCCCAAAAAAGAGUGACUUAUAGUUCGAUCAAUAACCGCCCCUCAGAGCGAGGACAAGAUGGAGGACGGAGCCGCCCUCGAUGUUGUAGUCCUUGGCGGUCUUGUCAUCUGCGAGCUGCUUACCAGCAUAGAUAAGCCUGUGCAGAGAGGAAUACGGCCCAGAUAAUCAGUCCAACAGAGCAGAAACCUUGCUAAGAGAUAUGGGGAUAAAAAGAACAUAAGCAUAAGCAAGUCAUAGAAGCAUCAGAAGAAAAGGAAGAUCCCGGUUACUUAGGCAUGUGAAGAUGAUAUGGCGUAAUCAUCGUGCAAUGCUUAACAAUACGAGAAAGUGAAUUGAAAUUUGUUUGGGCUCGGUUGCUCCAUAACAGAAGUCACAACCCUCAAUGGGACGAGAUGUUUUCAGUUUUAUCGUUUCAAGAGGAAGGGCCUCCUUCAAGCUAGUUAACCUAAAUUUUCUAAACUAAGUUCGUCAAAAUUGAGAUCCAACCUAAGAUUUGUGUAAGGUCUCCACAAAUGUAUUGCGAAAUUGAAUAAUAAAAUUGUAAGAUUCCACAUAUUACAAAUAUUACAGAAAAAUAAACAAAUAUUAAAUCAUUCUUGAAUAUUAAAGAAAUGGCAAGUUUAUAUUAUAUCUAAUGAUCAUAAUUUUUUUAUCAAAAUAACUAUUAUAUAAAAGUAGGUAUGAUAUCCUUUUGACUAUAUACUCCAUCAAUUCAGUCAAUUUCACAUACAAUAGUCGAGAGGGUUCCAUAUAACCUGCGUCUUCAGAAAACACCAGCUUUUGUAAUUAUCCAGAACAUCAUAAAUAAUGCUUAAUACAAAAGAUAUACUCUAAAUAGUUAACCUAUUAACCUAAAGACCGAUCAACUGCCCUCAGGUCCCAAACACAAGCAAGUUUCAUAGGCCACUCAACUGAGCAGAGGACUGGGCGGGCUGGAUGAAGGAAUGAAGGGCAACUUGUUGUAGCUGGUCUUGUUGUGCCAAAACCAGAUCCACAAUGGUCAGCCAAUAUACGCAAGAAGCAAAUAAUUGUUUAUUAAAAUAACAUUAUAUCAAUGCAUUAGACAAAAUAAGCAUCUGAUAACAAGGCAGAGUAAUCUACUCCCCGAACUACUGCCAGGCCCCUCCAAAAGAGGGGGGGAAGUAUAAAAGCAUUUAAAGUAAGCUUCAAAUAGUCAAAAAACUAUGCUGCAUACCUUUGCUGCACAGGAGGAAUUCCUUCUUUCUCUUCAACUCGCUCCUUGAUCCUCUCAAUUGUAUCAGUGGGUUCAAUGUCGAUUUCGAUUUCUUUCCCAGUGAGCGUCUUCACCUUGAUCAUGGUCCCACCCCUGAGCCUCAAAACCAAGUGAAGGGUCGAUUCCUUCUGAAUGUUGUAGUCUGCUAAGGUGCGGCCAUCUUCCAACUGUUUCCCAGCAAAUAUAAGUCUUUGCUGGUCUGGGGGUAUGCCCUCCUUAUCCUGCAGUUUAUCUUAUAAUAUAUGAAUAGUUGUACUGUAAUUUCUUCUGUAUUUUAUGCUACAAUCAAAUCUACUAAUUAUUUGUAUGAAAAAAUUUGCACAGGGUACAUUAGGCAUUGUUUAUAUUUUCCAUUCAUCUUUCCUAAGUUCUAUGCAGUUGAAGGCACCUACGACGGACCUUGUGUUGGUGCUAUUUGUUACUGUUGUUUAAUUGGCAGUACACAGUUUCUUAAAAGCAAAAAGAUUAUGCCUUCCUUGGUAUUCAUGCUGUCUUGGGUUUCCAUAAAACAAAAAUUCUACAUGGUUGGGUGUGUCGGCAGAUCGCCUUGCCUACUCUAUGUCAUUGUUGGCUAGCAUUGCUACACAAACCGGCCGGAUGCUAAAAUGCAUCUCCAAAACAAGUAACAACAAAGGGAGAAAAAAGUUAUAGCUAAGUAUUUGUUCUUUGUUACCAAACAAAUCCCAUUGAUAUAUGGACUGCAAGCGCUCCACCAUCUGCCCGCACGCUCUAUUGCAUACAAUUUUUGUUUAGUAAAAAAAAAAAAAAAAAAAAAAAAAAAAAAAAAAAAAAAAAAAAAACGCAAUAACAACAAGCUGAUCGAGGCUUUAUUUUACAAACUAAUACUUUGACUUUUCAUUUGUCAAGGAAAAAAAAAAAAACUUGUCAAAAAGGAGUUUGCAAAAAACCCACACUAAUGCAAAUAAAAAGGAUACCUAAAUGUGCUUAACCACAAAGAAGAUGGGGAGAGGGGGGAAAAAAAAAAUGAAGGUGUGCUAGCUGUUGAAGUUGCUACAUUUUAAAUAUCAUCAUGAUCUAAGAAAUUUUUCUCUUUUCUCUUCAAAUGUUGUGCAUCGUACUAUGCCCUCCCUUCUUCUCUCCUCAUUUUUUCGGGUGCAGGUGCUUUGUUUUACUCUUGUUUAAGUGUCAAUUUCAUGCAGUGUUAAGGAUCUAGAUUUUAAACAUCUUGCACAACUUUCCUUCAUGUAUAAUUGCCAGAAAGAACGCUGUGAAGAAACUAACCCCUCACUUGGACUAGUCUAAUGGCCAGAUCGCCAGAGCCUCAUUAAGGUCCGAUUGCAAGGACCCCUAUUGCCUAGACACUUCUCUAUUUGGACCCUGCACUGCCCACCUAGUCAGUUAUUGCAGUAACAUAUAUUUUAUCUUAUAUACACCCUACAGAUUAGCUUUUAGUAAAUCAAAAGACAAAAAUUUCAAAAGAAAGGGUUUUUUGCAUAGAUAUCCCUCCGUUGCGUAAAUACCCCUACAAAGUUAGUAUCUACUUGCGAGCCGUCCCCGUACUUUAUUGGCAUCAUGUCCUGUUAGGGGUUUAUAUGCGAAAAGACGUUUUUGCAUAUAUAUGCUUACAAGGGUUCACAGACGCAUAACCAAGGUUCUUAGGGGCAUUUACUCUAAACUAACUUUCCAGGGGUAGUUGAGGAUUUUGCAUACAUACAAGGGAUUUACAUGCAAAAGACCCACAAGAAAUUAUAUAGCACUUACUUAGCAUAAAGCUCCCUUGUCCUUAAUUUUCUUAACUAGAUUGAGAAUAUACUUACCUAAGGUUGUGAAGAGGACAUAUUAUUCUUGAGGGGCCAACAUUUGGAUCAAAUGACCCUUUGGGAAGCCUCAAGACUCUUUUUUUCUUCUUAUUUCUUAUGAAAGUCUUCAAUCGACAACAAGCCCUUCACUUCCAUUUCCACAGAUUAUGAUCCUAUUGAGGGAAUACCAUAGUUCCAUAGAUGCAUGAGUGCAUAUGCUUUAUUAGUUAUAACACACUUAAAGCAAGUUGUUGAUACUUGCUCCUCCUUCGGAAGGUUUUUAAACAAGUGAGCGCAUUCUCUACAACCCAGUGCGCAGAAUUUUCCUGUACACCGGGUGAUCUCACCGUCCAUCCGAAAAGCAUGAUGAUCCCUCUACUAUCGGCAAUGAUCCAUUGUUGGCCAAUCCAGCAGUUUAGAUGCUACUCUCCUUCAGAUGGACGAUAAAAUCAACUGGUGCCCAAGAAAAUACUGCGCAGCGGGCUGUAGAGAGUGUGCCCCCUUUUAGACACUAUAUAAAAGUCAACUAGCUAAGAUAUUAGGUGAUUAUCAAAACCAUCGAGGCGGUGUCUAGGCAUUUAGGGGCCUCUCAAUCGGCACCUAAAUCUAUCCAUCAGCCUUGAUAAUCAUGUUACCCAAGCAACUAACCAAAUGAUGCCUUACCAAUUCGAUGAAAUGUUUCUCCCAUCCAUCAAUUGAAUAGCUUAUCCUAGAACUCAAAGAAUCCCACUUUCAGUAAUUGAAGAACUCAACAAGUAAAUUCAUUCCGAAGCCAGUCAACUGCCAAGUCAACCAAGUUCUCAGAAGCCUAAUAUUGAUACCAAAGGCUAAUUUCACUCAUCAACUCCAGUAUCUUCUUAUUUCUAGCUUGUAAUUUACUGGAAAUCUUUAAUAUCCUCUCCAAAGCACAAAUAUAUGCAUAGCUUGUCCAGUCACUCUCUACUACCUAAAUAAACCAUCAUAACUUCAACAAAUAAUCACAUGAUAGCUCCAAAAAUUUGUAAAAAAACCUAUAUUUAUGAAGGGAUCAAACACUAUACAGUUGGCAAAGAUAGUUCUAAUUCUAGCCCUAGAAUCUUAAGUUUUACAAUUCCACAAUCCACAAGCACAAACAAAACAAUUAUACCUACGUACUUUUACCAAUCCUAAUUAACAAUCAAAACAUUCCACAACCAAGUUCAUCACUCCAUACAAGAAUUAUGUCGAACACCUCGCGUGCGUACACAAGAAUCAAAAACGGCGAUCGCUUUACGGAUCAAAAUCUCAACCAAACACGAAACCCCAGAAACCCCAGAAACCCUAGAAAACGAGUUAGGUCCAAAAAAACCUCCAAAAACUCGGAAAAAAUCGGAAAAAAUUCGAAAAAAAGGGGGAAAAAGAGGACCUGGAUCUUUGAUUUGACAUUAUCGAUGGUGUCGCUGCUCUCUACCUCGAGAGUGAUCGUCUUCCCCGUCAAUGUUUUCACGAAUAUCUGCAUCUUUCUCUUCUCUUCUCUUCUUCUUAUGCUUGGAUUUUUUUUUUCUGUUUUUUUUCUGUCGAUCUUCUCUACACGGACGUGUCAGGAGAAAGCCGUUUUAUGGAGAGUUUAUUUGUUACGAUAGUUACAUAGAAAAUUGAGGCUCAUUGAGGAGUCCCCGAUUCGCUUUUAUGCGUUAAUUUUAUCUCUACACAAUUAUUAUUAUUAUAAUCCUCGCAUCUGAAGUUUAAAAAAAUUAUUUUCAGAAUUUAGUAUAUUAAAAAUAAGAUUAAUUGGAGAUGAUUUUCUGUAAACAUAUCGAAUAGCAGAUAUCUAUCCCUUCAUUUGGUUCGGGUAUAAGCAAGAACUAGUUAUACCGGAAAUAGGUACAAGUAUAGGUUUUCGUAGGCAUAAGAAUAUUUUUUAUUUGGAUGAAAAUGUAAGUAUAAGCUGGAACUAGAAAAAUUAUGUUUGGAUGAAAAUGUGAGUAUAAGGGGGAAUAGUUGGUAGUUAUAAAUAGAAAAUAAUGAUAUUAUCCUGAUAAUUGAGUUUAAAUUUUUAAACUUAUAAUUUUAAAUUAAAAAUUUUAACUUUUAAAUUUUAAAAUUUAAAAUUAAAAUUUAAAGUUUUAAUUUUCAAAAUUUUAAUUUUAAAUAUCAAAUUAUAAAUUUAAAACCAAACUUAAAUUUGAAAGAUAUAAAAUAUCAAAUUUAAAAUUUAAAAACUAAAAAUAUCAUAUUAAAAUUUAAAAUUUAAAAAUUUAAAAUUUUAAACUUGUAAAUUUAUAAUUUAAAAUUAUAAAUUUAAAUUUAAAAUUCAUAAUUAUUAAAUUUUUUAAACUUUAAAUUUAAAAUAAAAUCAUAUCUCUCUCUCUCUUCUUGUAGGGGGGGGGGGGGGGGGGUUUGGAACAAAUUGUUCCACCCCUAGGUGGGAACACUUAUUCCCCAUCUAUAUCCGGUAUAAACUGGGUAGGUGGGAACAAGUGUUUCCACCCACCCAAAAAUAUGUUUGGGUACAAGAGGGUGGAUAACCCCCUUAUCGCCCUCUUGUACCCAAUCCAAACACUAGCAUAGAGUUUAUCCUUUUAUAUUUAUUCCUGCAAAAGUUAUAACGUUUUCAAAUAUACUUCUAUUAUUACGAUCCGUUAUAAAAAUAUAGUUCUCCAUAACUUUUCAAAACCUAUAUUGUACACCCUCAAUAUCUCACGCUGUUGCAUUUAGUCCCCCUACGUCCAUUUUUUAUAAUUUUUAUCAAAAAUAUUCUUCAAAAUGAUAAAAAUAUAUUUUAAAAAUUAUUUUUUUAUAGAAAAAUAUGAAUAAUUUAGUCAUUUACCCUCUCCAUUAACGUCGUAUCCCCUUUAAAAUAUUUUUGAAAUUUUAAGGGGCAAAAUGUAGAUUUUUUAAAACUUAGGAAAAAAAUAAAAAAGAAAUAUUUACAGGAAUUUUUUUUAUAAUUUAGUCUUAAUAAAAUAAUAAAAUAUGUUAGGUGCACCGCCUUAUGAUUAAUUUAUAAGAGAAUUUUUUGGAAUUUAACUUUUUAUUAUUUGUACUUUAUUAUUCCGUAGUUCGCAAAAAAAAAGUAUUAAUUUACUGUCCAGUUGAACAAAAGUUAUUUAUUAGAACAUAAAAAUAAAAGUGUAAAUUACUUAAAUAUAAUUUUUAAAAUCACAGGUGGCAAGUAAAAAUGCACAAGUCCGAAGAGGGCAAAUUAAAGUUUACUCAAAAAUUAAAGUCGAGGGGUUAGUUGCCAAUAUAGUAAAGCUGAGGGGGUUUCGAUAUAUUUUUACCAAAAAGAAGGGAAAACUUUAAAAAGCCUCAUACCUUUUCAUUUUAGUAUCCAUGGUUCAAAGUGUAUUAAGUUAGUACCAUACGGUUUCGCACUUUCUCACUUUAGUAUCCUGUGUUUUAAAGUGUAUCAAGUAAGUACUUUGUCAUUUUAUUUUUUUAUCAAAUUGUUAUCCUGUGGCUUUAUUUUUGUAUCAAGUUAGUACCAUGUGGUUUUCAAAUUAUAGAGUACUAAAGUGAGAAAGUAUGAAACCAUAGGGUACUAAAGUGAGAAAGUACGAAACUACAGGGUACUAACUUGGUACACUUUAAACCACAGAGUACUAAAGUAAAAAAGUGCAAAAUCACAGAGUACUAAUUUGAUACACUUUAAACCACAUGAUACUAAAGUGAGAAAAAGUGAAACCACAAGGGGGUAUUUAAAGUUUUCCCCCGAAAAGAAUAGAGAUAUGACCCUCGAAACCGUGAUAUAUCACCGUUACACCGAAGACCCACUUGGCUUGUGGGGCCGCGUUAUUCCAAUCCGCCACCCUCUCGUCCGCGGAUUUUGAGCUCUACCGUGUGGGGCCCACUUAUUACACUUCAAUUAUUAAAUAAAAAAAGAAUAAUUAUUUAUAUACACCCCAAAACUUUAAAAACAUCUGGUUUAUAUAUAUAUAUUUUUUUUAAAUAUACUCCUAGUGUGUUUUUUUGUUAUUCAAAAAUGCACCCGUAGUUACCAUUCGUUAAAUUAUUUCGAGUUAGAUAUAAGUGAAAUGUCUACUAAAGUUAAAAAAAGAAUUAAAGUACCUUUUUUGUCCUUAAUUUAAGAGCAAAUAAAAAAAUUAGUGGUAAUAGAAAGAUAUAUUUGAAAAGAUUAAAAAAAAUUUCCUUAAUUUAAGGGUAAAUAAGAAAAAUUGAUGAUGGUAGAAUGGUAAAUUUAAAAAGACAAAAUAGUAAUUUUAAGGAGAUAACGAUUGUUGAUAACUUUCGGAGGGUCGGUAACUUUUUAGGGAUAUAAAAAUAAUUGCUCCUUAAAAAAAACGAGCCUUAUGGAUAAGACUUUUGAAUUCAAGAUCAAAGAUGCUGAGCUUGAUUUAGAUAGUUUAAAAUAUUUUCUAUCAAAAUUUGAAUAAAUUUAGAUUCUUUUACACUGUUAAACUAUAAACUCGUUAUAUUAGCCGUUAAAAAUUGAUAAUUUUUAAAAUAAUUUGAUCAUAAAAUAAGUUGAAAAAAUAUAAAAAUUGGUUCCUAAAAACUUCAAAUAUUAUACAUUAAUUUUAACGAUGUGAAUCGUUGAUUUGAACACUCUAAAAUAAAAAACGAGAUUAUAGUACCAAAGCCCCGAUAUAAAUAUAAUAGAUAUUACAUAAGCUAACUCUUAUUAUUAUUAUUAUUAUUAUUAUUAUUAUUUAAGAAUUGACUACUCUUUGGAUUUAUUCCUCAAAUCUCUCCUGGGUCAAAUUACAGCAUCCAAAAAUCCACCUUCUCUAAAGUAUGAGCAGGGGACACUAUUUAUGGGAAGAAAAAUAGUCUCAAAACUCACUAUUUUAUUAGUAGAAUAGAUUCUUUACUUUAAUAAACUUAUAACUGUGAAUAUUAUAUGAAAGUAUAUUAACUAAAUAUAUAAAGAUAAACGACGUAUUUAAAUUUUGAAGUCAAAGUGUCGCCGGCCGACUCAAAUCAAAAAAUUUGAAGAGGUAGUAAAAUAAAAAAUAGUAUAUAGUUCAGAUAAAUUUUGUAAAGUUUUACUUAACAAUUCAUGUGCAAAAGCAAAAAUCAAAAAGGCUUAUAGAGAAAAAACUAAAAUAAUGUUUUAUUUAUUUACUUUUUCCUUCCAUUAGAUAAGUUGAUGAUGAGAAACAUGUAGAAUAUUUUAUCUAGUUAUAUCCACAUUUCUCUUUGAAAAUAUUAACAAAAAAUAGAAAAGCAGUUACAUCCAUUUAGAUUUAUAGAUUAGGAUUUGCGCGAAUCAAAAUAGGCCGAUGAAUAUCGAAUAUAUACUUAAAACAGUUAUUUUAUUGGAGAAGCAAAAGUCAAGCGCAUGAAAAAACUAUUCACAAGUCAAAUCACCAAAAGGGAAUAUUUAAGAGGACAAGAGGUGAACAUUUAGAACCACAAAAAAAAAAAAAAGAAAAAAAAGAAAAAGAAAAAAAAAAGUAAGUGCGAAUAUUCACAAUGCAUUGUGAGGUGGAGGAAAGCAUGAGGGAAAAGGUGUAGUGAGAGAUGUGAUGCGGAGGAUUCUUAUGCAGACAUGAGGGGGUAAAAAAAGAGGAAAAAAAAAAAAAAAAAACCAACCCACAGUCAAAGGAUAAUACCAUUCGUAUUUAUUUAGCAAUUAAGUUCAAAAAUAUUCACCAAUUGCGUUUAGCGUAAUCUACUAAGAAUUUAAUAGUUAGUAUCUAAGGUCUCAAAUUCGAAGCCUGAUUGCUUCAUAUUUUUAGUGAGUUUGUUGAUUUAGACUUGAAUAAAUUGCAAUUGUCAGUUGCAUCCGCACAGAAUUGAAUAGACUGUUGCAAUUCAAAUUGCAUGCAUUUUAAAGUCAAUACAUUUACAAUCACAUCGGGUUUGGAUCUGUAUAACUGUUCUUUUAAUGCGAGGGGGCAAUCGUACCUAGCGCAUAGUUGGCUAAAGAUUUGAUGAUUGAUAUCCGAGGUUUCAAAUUUGAAGUCGAGUACGGAUCUAUAGCAAGGUUUAAAUUGCCGUGGCACGGGGGCGUGCCGCUACGUCCUUGGCACGGUACGGCACGGGCACGCUUGCGUGCCAACACGUGGCACGCUUGCGUGCCGACAGAUACGCACGACCUCCUACUGGCACGCUUUGACACGAAUUUAUUUAAAUUUUUUUGGUUCCAGUAAGCUUUUAUAAUGUUAUUUUGAAAGAUUUAGGCAAGUUAUUAUUAAUUUUUGCUAUGUAUAGCUUAUUAUACUCAUCAAUUAACAUGCAUGUAAGCAUUUUGUAUAUAAAGUACAACUAUACCUGAUGUAGAAUAUAAAUUAAAAUUCUUUUGUUUUUAUUUUUUUUUAUUUGAAAAGUACAACUAUACUUGCUGUAACAAUUGAAAAUUCUUUUGUUUUUAAUUUUUUUGUAAUUUAAAAAAUUAUAACAGAUAAAAUGAUAGAAAAUUUUAUUUUUUCUAAAAACGUUUCAAAAUCUAUAUAUUGAUUCGAUUAGGAAGUAUAUAAUAACUAGAACAACGAGAAUAGGUAUUGCAAUUACAUCCAUAUUUUUUUAUUCUUUUAAAAAUAUCUAAUCAAAAUUUGUUUAGGAGAUCAAUUUUUGUUCCCCUGAUUCAUCGAAAACUUCGCCGGUGCGACAAAUUUUGACAAAUAAUUUGCGAAGAAAAAUGAUGUCUGUGGUGGAAGCGGAGGGGCUCGGGCUGACAGGCCGAGCCGUAGCCCCACACUGACAUCCGAGGGGGGUGCGGGGGGCCCCCCGCGGUAUGGAUCGGAUUUAUCAACUAAAAAAUUUGCUUUUAUAUUUGUUAAAAGAAGUUAAAAUAUAAUGUUUAAUUAACAAAAGAAAAAGAAAAAGUCAAAAGAAAAAGCCAAAAUGCAAAAAAAAAAAGGCAUCAUCCAAAAAGAAAAAAAAAAAAAGUUGACAAAAAAACAACACAAUGUCAAAAAAAUAUAAAAAAGUGAACAAAAGGCAAUAUAGAUGGCGGCGCGAAGGCUCUGAUCCACGAGAAAAAAAAAAAGAGACAAAACCAAAAAAAAAAAGCCAAAAAACUAAAAAAAAAAAAAAAAGCCGGCACGGGCACAGUGCCGCGCACAUGGCCGCGUGCCGCUUUGUCGUCGAGCGGCACGCGGCUUGGUGCCGCGGCACCCGGGGGGUCGAGACCCCUCUUGUACCGUGCCCCUUCUGGGGCACGUACGGCACGCCCCGUGCCGUACGGCACGGGCCGCACCUUCAACCAUGAUCUAUAGGUUACUUGUACAUCUGUUUGAACCUGUAUAAUUGUUUUUUUUAUGUAUUUAGGAGUAGAAUUAUACCUAGUGUCAUUAAUUAUAUUCGAUGUUCAAGUUCGAAGCCCAAUUGCUUCACUUUUAUAGCUGAGUUCAGUAAUCUCGAGUUGUAUAUAUAAGAUUUUUAAAACCAACUUUCACAUAAUUUAUACCUAAUAUAUCAUUGAUCCCAAUUCGUGCACUUAAAGCCACUAGAUUCUAGCAAGCUACUCAACCAUGGCAGGUUCGAAACAUGCAAAGAUGUAUUUGAAACUCAUCAAGAACUAAUUAAGUGCAACCAAGCAGAUGUUUUUAGGCAAUAUUUGUCAAAUUAAGGAAUUAAUGAUAUACAUACACAUACGAUUCAUAUGAGUUGGUGAUUUUUCAUGCAUCUCUAGUUGUGUUUUAUGAAUUCUUUGAGCAGCUCCAUUGCCUUUUGAUCAUUAUAUCUUUCUACUCGGUUAUAGAAGGUCAAUGAUGAACUGUUUUUUCUUGGAAUUAGGCUGGUUGAAUUUAUAUUUUGAAAAAAUAGACUUGCCAAAAUUUACUGGCACACACAUAUAUAUAAUAUAAUAUAUAUAUAUAUAUAUAUUAUAUAAAAUAUAAUAUAUAAUAUAUAUAUUAUAUAAUAUAUAGAGUCCGGCUACUAUACAUCGGUAGCACGGGGCCUCCCGUGCUACCAAGUUGUUUUCGAUGAUGCGGCUUCCAAAUCAACGAUCGCUCCGUUAGACUUGAUCUAUACUAUCAAAGUAUUUGAAAACUAAAUUUCAUAAUUUUUCGAUAUCAUUUACCUAUCAAACAAAUAGUCUAAAAUUGAACGGCUAAAAUAAAAAUCUCAUAAAAAUGAUGAUAAAAGAUUUAAAUUUAAGAUCAGAUAUACUGAUCUUACUCUAAAUAGUGAAAAAAUUUUCUAUAAAAUUUCAUCGAUUUGAAUUGUUUUACACGUAUAAUCUAAAUAUAAAUGACGCCACAUCGGCCAUUAAAAUGGUCAAUUUGAGAUCUUUUAAUUUCAUAGUUCAAAUGAUGUCGAAAAAUUAUAAAAUUUAGUUUCCUAAUACUUUUAAUAGUGUAGAUCAGUCUAACGAGCCGAUCGUCGGAUUUGGAAGCCGCAUCAUCGAAAACAACUUGGUAGCACGGGACGUCCCGUUGCUACCGAUAGAUAUAGCCAGCUGGACUCUAUAUAUAUAUAUAUAUAAUAUAUAUAUAUAUAUAUAGAGUUUUGCUAGAAUACUAUCGGUAGUAAACGGCUCGAUUUACUACCGAUUGUUUUCGAUUAUAGAGCUUCCAAUUGAUGAUCGGCACCGUUUAAAUAUGAUCUAAACUAUUUUANNNNNNNNNNNNNNNNNNNNNNNNNNNNNNNNNNNUAAACUAUCUGGAAAUCAAAUUUCACACAUUUUCGAUAUUGUUCUCUUGUCCAUCAAGUGAACAGAAAAAUGAAUGACUGAAAAUGAAUAUCCUUCAAAAAAUGAUGAUACAAUUUUUAUAUUUGAGAUCUAGAGUCUAGAUCUUAUUUUAAAUAGUUUAAAGAAUGUUUUAAUAAAAAUUUAGUUGAUUUGAACUCUUCUAUACCGUUAAACGAGCAAACGCACCAUAUCGGUCAUUAAAAUUAUAGAUUUUGUGACCCUUUGAUCGUUCAAUUAGUGAUGCCAAAAAAUCAUGAAAUUUGAUUUUUAGAUAAUUUAAAUGGUCUAGAUCAUAUUCAACGAUGCCGAUCGUCGAUUUGGAAGCUCUAUCAUAAAAAACAAAUCGGUAGUAAAUCGAGCAGUUUACUACCGAUAGUAGACCAGUCAAACUCUAUAUAUAUAUAUAUAUGUAUAGGGUAGGGCUACUGUGCUAUUAGGAGCACAGCAACUCUUGUGCUUCUAACUUUCUAACCACCCAUCAACAAGUUUGAUGGGUGGUUAGAAUGAGCGAGGGAUGAGAUAUUGGAGAGAAAUUUAAGAAGAAGAGAAAUUGAGACACUCAAUUUUUUCUCAAUAUCUCAUCCCUCUCUCAUUCUAACCACCCAUCAAACUUGAUAGGUGGUUAAAAAGUUAGGAGCACAAGGACUGCUGUGCUACUAAUUGCACAGUAGCCUUGCUCUCUCUCUCCCUCUCUCUCUCUCUCUCUAUAUAUAUAUAUAGUAUGUUUCUUGUGCUUUCGAAAGUACGGAGGCCUCCGUGCUUGUAAGUUGUUUUCGAUUAUAGGAUAUUCAAUUCGAUGAUCGGCUACGUUAAGUAUAUUCUUCCAUAUUGGAACUAUCUAGAUGGUCCGAUGAUAGUUGGAGUGGUUGUGAGCAAUAGGCACAGUGUGAUUCUUCACGCUUUUUGAGGUAGAAGAUUGCACAUGCCGCCGGAGGCGUGCAGCGUGGUGGUGUGUUUGCUGAUGGGAAGUGAGAUGGUUCGACGGUGGUCGGAGUGGUUGUCGGCAACAAAGGCAUAGUAGUUCUUCACCGGUAGGGGUGUAAUCUGGGUCAUGCCGGGCUAGCGCGGUCCAAAUUUUUCGGGCCAAUUCGGGCCACACAAAGUGGCCCAGCCCGACCUGGACUCAAAUCCCGCCUUGGCCAUCUUUAUUUGGAGUGUGGCCGAGGGCGACCCACUUUCCGAAGCAGGUCGGGCCGUGCUGGGCUAAAGGCUGGUCCAUUUUACUAUAAAUUUUAUUUUUAAAUAUUUUAAUUUUUGUAAAAAUUUUUCCAAUUGGUUUUAUAAAAUAUAUAGUUUUUUUAAAUAAAUAAGUUUUGAUGACUUUUAAAAAAAUAUUUAAAAUUAGAAUAGAUUAAAAUAAUUUUUGAAGAAUAAAUUUAAAAAAAUAAAAAAUCUAUUAAGGAAAAAAAAAAAAANGGCAUGGCAUGGACCGGCUUCGAUGACGGCCAAGCCGGACCCUGCCGGGGCAUGAGCCCAUAAGCUACGGCAGUUGCGGGCCAGCUGGGUACGAUCCAGACAGCCGACAGUCGACCCAGUCCAUACUGGCCCACGGGCCGUCUGUCCCAUUUGACAUCUCUAAUCACAAGCGAUGGAGUUUGUAAGUUUUAGUUGCCCUUGACUAAAUUAUGCUUACUCUCAAUGUAAGAAGAAUAAAAUAGUAGAACAUUAGAAUGGACUUUUUGGGUAUUUAGCCCUCUCAUAAAAAUUUUUUCACAAAUAAUCUCACAAAAUUUAUAAUUGCAAAACUGGCUCCAUCCCCGCGACGCAAGUGCCACAUCAGCGGCUGGCUAGCAUAAGUUGAAUAUGAUUAACCAUUCACCGUGUUUAGACACGGUGAAUUAAGCUAAAAUGCACAAGGACUGUUUGAGUUCUUUUGCACUGCGGGUUUGCUACUGUUCAGCCCGUCCAAAUACGGUGAAUGGUUCAUCUUGUUUAAACACGGUGAAUCAUUUAUCGUGUUCAACUUAAUCCUUCAUAGUCGCUGAUGUGGCGCUUACAUGGCACUUGUGUGGCAUGAAUAUGACUAGUUUUAUAAUUAUAAAUUUCGUUGGACUAUUUAUGAAAAAUAAAUUUAAGAGGAGACUAAAUGCAAAAACCGAAUACGCAGUUAGAAUAAUAACGGCUUAUUGAAGUUGAGUGGAUAGUUUGUUGAAUAGUAUAAUUUAAUGAGUGAAAAUAAUUACAGGAAUAGAUUUAAAUAUAGAAAAUUUGAUAGUAGUAAAUACUUCAUGAUAGCAUAGCAGUCGGACUAAUAUUUUAAGAUCUCAAAGCACUAUCAACGGUGUGCUCAAAGGGCUUUCUUAUAAAAUGAUCCUCCAGAAAUUCAAAAUUGGCAAAAUGACCUGCCAAAAUUUUAUUUGUAAAACUAACCCUCCUUUCGCCACGUGAGCGUCACGUUAGAAUUUCUUAUAAAGACGGUGAAUCGUUUACCGUCUUUGUAAUAUUUGUUAUAAAAGGGGUAAAUGGUUCACUGCCUUCAGAAGGCGGUGAACCAUUCAUCGCCUUUAGUGCAAAAUCCUUCUUUCCGCCCUUUUCCCCUUUCCGCCCUUUCAAGUCUGCCGUUUCUGUGCCCUCGAGAAGACGGGAAACGAUUCACUGUCUUAUCAAUGACACCAUAUUCUGGACUUGAAAAGAUUUGCGUAUCAGAAUAGGGAUUUAUACUAAAAACGGUGAAUGAUUUACCGCUUUAUGAAGGCGGUGAACCAUUCACCGCCUUCACAACAAAUAUAACAAAGACGAUGAACGAUUCACCUGCUUCAUUCAUUGAAGCUAUGAAUUAGGCUACAGGGGUGAGGUAGUCAGGGCCUCACCCACCUGCUUCAUUCAUUGAAGAUAUGAAUUAGGCUACAGGGGUGAGGCAGUUAGGGCCUCGAAAGAAGAAAAAUUAUGAAAAAAAAAAAACAAAGACGAUGAACGAUUCACCGUUUUUUUUAGGAAUCUCUGACGUGGCGCCCAUGUGACGAAAGAAGGAUUAGUUUUAUAAAUAAAAUUUUAAUAGAAUUAUUUUGCCAAAAUUAAAUUUUUGAAGAGUCAUUUUAUAAAAAAAAAAGCCGGUGUGCCGUGUUAAGUGGCUGUAUAUGACGGCAUACUUGGUUGGGUAGGGAGAGCAGAGUAGACCUCUCUCUCUCGCUCUCUCUCUCUCUCGAAGAAAGAGAAAUUCUUCAAAAAAAGAAAAAAAGGAGGAAAAAAAAGAGAAAGAAAUGGUGGGGGCGAAUGUGAAGGCGGAGACGCUGAGUCUGAUGGAGAGGAGGGCGGCGAUGGAGGCCGACAUGAACGCCAUCAUCGACGCCCUCUCCCGCCCCGGCGGCCCCGGCAUCUCCGGGAACCUUCUAGACUCCCAGGCAUAUAUAUAUAUUAUCUCCAUUAACCCAAAACCCCAAAAAAAUUUUUUAAAAAAAAACUCCUUUUUUCUUCUCAUUUACUUACGAUUUUGUUUUUGUUUUUGUUUUUGUUUUUGUUUUUUUUUCUUUUAUUAGGGAUUUCCGAGGCCCGAUAUCGACAUCCCUACCGUCCGGGCGCAGCGCCACCGCCUCGCUGGUUCGCCGUUCAAAACCCUAAUCCAAAACCCUAAUUUGAGUUUUUUUUCCCCCUUAUUUUUUUGGGUUAUUAAUUGUUUGCUUACUUUCUCAUGGAAAAAGAGUGUAGUUAAAUUGGCCGAUCUAAGAAAAACACAUUUGAAUGCUUACACUAGGUUGUCUUUAUCCAGCCGCUUUGACGCAAUUUAUGUAGCACUAGUGUAGUGACCCGCGCGUUACGACGGGCAGAUACUGUUCAAGAAUAAAAUAUCAGAUUAGUACAAAAAUAGUAAAUAUAGUCUACAUUAUAGACAAAUACUUUUAAAAAAUAAAACUAUAAUAAAAAAGAAUUUAAUUGUUUCAACUAAACUAUUCAACAUUGUUCAAGAGAAGUCGCAUAUCAUGCAAAUAGAUGAUUAAAAUUAUUUCCAUAACAUAAUAAUCAAAUGAGGAAAAAAAAAAGAAGAGAAAAACUGGGUAUAUGUAAGAUUUAGCCAUGGAGAUUAAUAUAUAGGUAUAGAUAUAGAUUGGAGCAGUUUCGAGUCUUUUCAGAAUAAGUUAUCCAGUGAUAACUUGUUCGGUACAAGAAUUUUAUAUUGUAAUUGGAAGUGUAAGUGAUUUCAAUUUGUGGGGCUCCUCGAAAAUGGAAAAAAAGACUUUUAGGGCUGAACAUGGUGUGGUACACCGUGUUGACAUUUGAUCGCGCUCGCUCAUUUACCAAAUUCUACAAGUUUCUUGAGCAAAUCAAAGAGAUAUGCCGAAUAGUAUGUUCGCGCACCCAAACAAGGGCUCUGGGGUAUCUAAAACGUCGAACUGCUUGCGUUUGUAUAAUGCGGCUCACACUGGGAGUUUUUUGGUCUAACUCGGGGAAUUAAACUAUAAAUUGAAGCACUCUCGGUGAGUGGUGAUCCUUGCUAUGGGCCUAUCAAGAUCAAUAGUUUACUCGUUUUUCGCUUUUAAAGCAACGAUAAUUUUAGUUCCGUGUGUGUUUCAUGUAUGCUGCAAUGGUUUUUGGGAGUUUAUGAGCUAACAUUUUUUUUCUUUCUUUUUUUUUUUGGUUGGGUGGGGGUGGGGGGGGUAUCUUUUUGUUGCAGAGUUGCGCAACGAUCACAAGGAUAUCACUGACAAAAUUGAUAAAAAUUUGCAAGUUUUGCACUCGUUAAGAUUAGGUAAAAACGAACCAGCGAUUCCUGGAGAUGCAGGUACGCUAAUCAAAAAUUGCAGAACACUUCAUUUUUUAUAUAUGCUUUACUUCAUUUAGUAUGCUUAGUUGAUACCGUUGGUAGUAAUUGCUCGUAAUGAUCUGAUCAAAUGCUGUUUUUAUUGUAAAUAUGCUCAAUUUCGUCAAAUUUCCUUAACCUGAAUAUAUCCAUUCGUCUUUCGGCAUCUACGUAGGGCUACGAAAAUAUCUUAUGAUGACCCACCCAAUUUAUGCAUCUACGAUUCUACGUCUUUGUUCUUUAAUCAUGAUGGCAAUCAAGCCUUGCAUUGUUUUUACCUGCGAGUAGUAUUUGACGUGUAACGAGAUUCUUCAAAUAAUAACUGUUAUACAUUUUACGAGCUAAUAAGUAGUAGAUAAGGCAAUUCGUGUCCACAGGGUCAGGCCAGCCCUAUCACCAAGGCCCUGCAAUUGAAAAAGCCCUCUUUGGUCUGGUGUCAGCAAUUCAGUGGUUUCUGCUGUGUAGUCGGUUCGGUUCGGUUCGGUUUGGUUCGGUUCGUGGUUUGCCCAUAUUUUGUACAACCAAAUCGAUCAAGCUUCUUAACCGAACGAAAACCGAACUGAGCUAUUCGGUUUGGUUCGGUUCCAAUAUUCGGUUUUAUCUUUCAUAAAGAGAGAAAAGAAUAUUGUCAAGUUUUCAACACUAUAUGGAUCAAUUUACAGACGUUACGAAAUAAAAAAAAGUAUAAAAAAGAUAAAAAAUAGAUACACCAACACUGACCAAGGUUUUAAGUGCCUGUCGGCACGGGCCGUAUUCGCCGUGUCAUACCGUGCCAACAAGAUACCGGCACGAUACAGACCCUGUACCGAUGGCACAGCUCAAAACCCUUUAUUCUUUAAAUUAGUAAGUAAUUUUAUCAAUAAAGUUCAAAAGAUGUGAUAAAAAGACAUAAUAAAUAAUUAGAAUAUUUUGUUGCUAAAGAAAAUAAAUAUUUCAUGCUAUUAUGUGUCGGCACACAAAAAUUUUUUUGAUUGGCAGGCAUCGGCACGGCUCGGUACGCACCGUGUCAUACCGUGCCGGCAAAUUUCCGGCACGACCUUGUGCCACAGCACUUAAAUCAUUGGUGCAAAUGAAGUAGGAUUUUUAAAUCUUCUAUUGCAAUACUCGUAUCAUACUGGCAAGUUUCCGGCACGACCUUGUGCCACGGCACUUAAAUUAUUGGCACUGACAUCAAAUUAUUAUUUGAUACUUACCUAAAUAUAUAUAUACAUAUUUAUAUAUAACUAUUCGGUUUUCGGUUUGGUUUUGUUUGUUUAGAAGUCUAAGCUGAACUAAUACUGAAAACCGAAUUCACAAAAAUCACAACCGGACCGAACCGAAAACCAAUUUACCUGAGCGAAAUAGGCUUUUUGGGUUUGGUUCGGUUUGGUUUUCAGUUUGGACCCAAACUGUGGACACCUCUAGAUGACCCCAAUCAAUAAUGUCCUGUAAUUUAGAUUCAAUCAUCUCCUUAUUGUGUCAAAGUAGGUGUAAAAAUUUUAGCAAAAUUUUUAUUUUCCAACUACUGAUCUGAAAAAUUGGGGAAAAAGAAGAGGAUAAGUAUGAGGUGAGGCUAACAAAUUAAAACCAAAUUUGCGUUUUUCUGCAGGUGCAUCAGCUUCUCAUGGCGUUUCGUCUCAAUAUUCUCCCGUGGAGGAGGAUCCAAUUGUCAGGAUACCUUUCGCUAUAAUUGAUGAAAUUGUCGAUGAUUCACCGGCAGCAGAAGACGGUUUACAGCUCGGAGAUGAGAUUGUAAAGUUUGGGAGCGUGGAAAUUGGCGAUGGACUGCAAGCGAAGCUUGUUUCAGAAGCACAGUCCAACCAGGGCCGUACCGUGCCUCUAAUCAUCAUACGGCAUGGUUCUGUUAUGAAUCUGAAUGUGAUUCCCAGACAAUGGCGCGGCCGUGGACUUUUGGGGUAUGCUUUGAUUUCUUCUUUUUGUUCAUCUCCCCCAACUUACAUUUUUAUUUUUUUUUAAAAAACUAGAGAACUUUAGACAGUUUUAGUAAUGAUUAAGAUAAUUGAUCGAUAUAAAGAUUUCAUAAUGUGACACCUGUUUGUUGCUGCAGUAUCUCUGUUCAGAAACUACGCAUAUUUAUAAUUAAUAAAAACUAAACCUCUUUGCACAUGAAUCGAAGUCGGACUUAGCGCUUCUAUGUUCCAAUUUUGGAAUUUAUGAGAGGAUCAUACAUUUGCAGGCAUACUAUAUCUUCAUAAUCUUGCAUUGUUUAUGUGCAUGAAAUUUCUGUUGUGGUUGAACCUGAUCACAUGAAGCUUGAAUUUGGCAUACUAACACUUUCUCUUUUUAACUUCGUGCAGAUGCCAUUUUCGGAUCUUAUGACAAGACAAUUAGUGAUAACACAAUGAUGAGGAAGUUCUUAAAGUUAAUAGCACUUCCGAAAGUCGAAUUUAUGGGCAAUGCAUGUGGAUGCGCAUGCUUGCUUGUUGCCUUCUCAUAGCGUCGUUUUGUUUUGCAAAUUUUCUCAGCUUGUAAUAGUGAUCAACUGAACUUUUUUCUGCCGCACAUCUGCUUUGUUUUACUCGGCAUCGAAACAUUCCUCUCAGUAAGUUGUUAUAAAUGGAGUACUUCGUUUUCACCAAGGUGUUCUUGUGCUGUGAAAGAUGGGUAUCCAAAGUGUCUUAUGGUCAAAUAUGUGUUUAAUGAGGUUUUGUUUUUGAGUUGCCAUUUUAUUUGAAUCAACUACAGUGAAUCGCAUAACGGAAAAUGCGCGAAUAAACAUUUCCUUGGCAAUAAUAGAUAAGCAAUUUGGGGUGUUUUAUUUCUGUGGAGGGAAAGCAAAAUUGAUUAGAUUUACAUACUUCUGCUGAUUUUACGCAGAACAAUUGUGCGAUUAAUAUUUUUCUGUUUUUCAUGCAAAUUUUGUAAUCUUUUCGAUCGUGCGUCGACCCGAUGAAUCAAUCAAUGAGAAGCAACAAUGAAGCAUCAAUCGAGACGGCGGAGAAGGUAUUCGAUUUCGACGAUCUUGGUUAGAGGAAUAACCCAAUCUCCGUAGAGUCGAUAAACGACCGACGGAUCGACCUUAUAAGCGGCUCGGCUGCUAUUGCUGUCGCCGGUAUCAGCUGGUCGGUCCAGCGUUACAUCUUGUCCGAACACCGCCGCUUUUUCCUCCACUCUUUUCUUCACAAUUUCUUCUUGGCUUUCAGAUGUUACCAGUUUCAUCAAAGCAUCCCUGUCCUGUAAAAGAAAAGGAAUAAAGAAAUUCAUUAUAUCCAGCUAAAUGGAUUAUUAAGAAGAGAAGUAACAAAGUUUUCGACGACCUUCGCGCGAAUAGCAGGAAUGUAAUCCUGAGGGGAAUCCCUGAACUUCACUUCUGCUACAAACCUCCCAUAGUGGAUCCUCCUCGAAAGAGCCUAAAAUAUAUAUAUAUAUAUAUUUAAAAAUGAUAAACUACGCCGAAAAAAGAAGUUUAGAAUUGUUUUUCAAUUAGCUACGAUGCGAAUGUGAUUACCUGCAAACACGCGAGAUCAGAUGCGGCUGUCGACGCAAAGUUUCCGUCGACGCCUUCGACAGUGAACUGCGGAAGCAGCUCUUUGAAGUACACACUCCAAAUGGUAUCACUUACAUUGACAGAUGCAGCUGCUGGGUAUAAAACCUGGCAAUUGGAAGAGCUUUCAUUCAUUCAAGCAGUUUUGCCACCAAAGUGUGUAAAGAAAUUGUAGAACACAAAAUGUAGUCUCCAAACUCUCGACGAAUCAUAAUUCGGUCCCUAAUCUUUCGCUUAAACAUUGUCCAUAAUCUAACACCCAUUACAGCUUAAAAACCAUGCAUUAAAGAAGCCUAGGAAUUGCAAGAUAUUACAUAAGUUUAUGAACCAUUCUGUUUAGUGUUUGAAGCGCUUUGUUUGCAGUACUUAUCUUAGAAGGGAUUCUCUCCAAAGCAUUAAUCCGUUGUUUCAAGGUACAUUUGCUUUUGCGUGAAUCAAAAGAUCAUCAUAUUUUGCUUUCAAACUUUUUCGUGUCAAUCAGAAGCAGGGCCAAACAAGUUUUUCUUUGUAUGAAAUGUAUUUUGAAACCGUAAGACGGGAGUGGGAAAAAGAAGAUUACCUUCGAAAAGUUGUAUGGAGGGACUACUGGCCAUGUCAAAUCUUCAGGGAAGAAGGGAACCUCUUCUGGAUUUUGAUAACUUCCAAACUGCACAAUGUCUAUAACAACUCUUAAAAGGGGAUAUAUUUAUUUAUUUAUAUGAAAGAUAAAAAAAUCAUAAUGCAUGAAAUUUUUGCUUGAACAUCUCAAAUUGUGGCCUUAAACACAAAAAUUAUUUUGUUUCUUUUCUAUUGAUCCUCCAUUUAUUAAAGAAGUAGAGUUCUUUGAACGAGAUUAAGUGCUUGUUUGGUCUUUCUGUAGUAUAGUGUUGUUCAAUAAAGUAUUAUUUGAGUAGUGUUAUUAUAAGAAGCACUAUAUUAAAAGAUUUUUUUUUAUCAGCAAAAUAAAGAAAAAAAGAAAACCAACUUUUAGUUUUAAGACCCAAAAUCUCGUAUCUACUAUACUACAGUAAAAGCUUUGAAAGUUUUCACUAGAUCGGAAGCCCCCCCACAUCACGCGGGAGCUCUCUAAUCCAACGACGUAUGCCGAUUCACCGAGUCUAUUCAGCUCAACAACUCGGCAGAAGUGCUAUGGUUCUCUGCCAAAUACCAUUAUAUAUAUUGUUGGGAUCGACAACAGAAACAAAAGCGGAGCCAGACAGGUCCUAAACGCAAUCUGCGUCAUAUAUCAUAUAUAUAUAUAUAUAUAUAUAUAUAUAUAUAUAUAUAUAAUUUGUUUUAUUUUUAAAAAAAGAGAGAAAAGGUUUUCUUGGCUUGGACCCUCUCACUGUCCCUCACAAAGAGCUCAACCAAAGAGCAACUAUUGCCAAACCAUUUGUCCACCUUCAAACAAGAGGAGGGGUUGUACAAUGGAGAAUUGUAUGGGUAUUUAGCCCUCUCAAUGAGGCUAAACACAAUGGUAUCCUCCUCUCUAGUGAGAAAAUCGCGCACGGAUUCCAAAGUUAUCCCCCUUGAGAGAGAACAUUGAAGCAAAAGAGCAUUGAAGCAGAAGAGUAGAUGAAUAAGAAUAGCAAUAGUAGAAGAAGAAGAAGCAGCAGCAGCAGCCAUUGCAGAGAAGAAGAAGAAGAAGAAGAAGAAGAAGAAGAAGUCGGUGGGGAGGGAGAAGUCGUUGCCGGCUUUAUAUUUCAAGUGUUUGGUUAAAAGGUUUGAAAAAGUCAGCUUUCUGUUAAUAAAGGGAAUGGAUUGCCGGCUGAUUGUCUUUUCUCAACGAGAGCUGAUCAUAUUGUCAGAAUAUUAUCUACUGUCACCGUUGCAAAAAUAUUCAAAAUAUAAUUAGAUGCAAGAUAUCAACUUUGACAAUAAUAAAUAUUACUUUAAUUCUAUCAAUUUUCUUCUCUCUCUCUCUAUAUAUAUUUUGAUGUUGUCCCGCCGAGAAAUUAAGAGCAAUUUUAGAAUGGCGCAAAAAUUAAGAUCAUUUUUUAAUUCUAAAGGUUGAAACAUAUUUAGAGGUCAAUAAUAAAUUACUUUAAUAAAAAGCACCAGAUACGAUCAAAGUAUUAAGAUAGUAUUGAGACUGUAUAUACAUUUCAUUCUGAAAAGUGAUAUUAACGCAUUUAUCAGAUUCAUUAAAUUUUUGUCAAAUUAUUUGACAUUGGAGUAUCAUCAACACCGUUGUUAAAGGCUACAAAGGAGGGAAUGAGCACAUGCGUAAAAAGGGCUCAAUUUAGCUUGAGUUUUUUGGUGGUCAAAGUCAACCUGAUGGGAAAAGUCAACUUCAUGUGAACAGGUUGAAUUUAGGUAGUUGAAAAAGGAAAAAAAAAGUAAAAAAAAAAAAACCAAUAAGAGGCCACAUUUCAUUGACCAAAUAUGUCAAAUCCUUGUAAAUCUUUGGUUAGAAUUAAAUAUUCUGAAAAAAAAAUAAUUUUCAAUAUAUGGCUCCAUAUGAUACUCAUAAAUCUUUGGUUACAAUUAAAUAUUCUGGAUUUUUUUUUUUUUCAAUAUAUGGCUCUAUACGAUACUAAAAAAUAAUUGCACAUGUUGGUAAAAGAGCACGAACUAAUCUAAAAAGCUUAAGUUACUAGCAGCUGGUACCAUUUACAUGAUAUACUAGUGUAAUGUUCUGCGUUUCGCGGCAGGAGCUAAUGACUCCAGAAGCUAAUUUGAGUUUAUCAUUGAGUCCGAGUGCAAUGACAGCAUAGAAACAUAAUGAUACUUUUUUUUAUCAGGUCAAGUUAGUAGUUCUCGACGUGUAUAAUGUUGAUUCUUGAAGUUUAAGUUUAUCUUCGAAUUCAAAUACAUCAUGGCUAUAGAAAAAAUGGCAUCCAAUUUUCAUACGGAUUGUGUCGGUCCAAAAUUUUUUAAGAUGAGAUUACUUUACAAUUCACUGCACAAAUUAAAUUGACUACACUUCUAAUUAAUUUUCUUAAGUAUAUAAACUGCCUCUUCACCUCCUACAGGGAGAAAAAAGUGAAAAAAAAACUUUGAGACCUCAAUUGUGCCAAAAGAUUAAAAGAAUUUAAAACCCAAGAGUGAUAACAACUAACAAUUUGUAAAAAAAUCAAAGGAAAUAAAGGAAGGCAAUAAAGUUCAAACAAAAUAAGCCAACUUAAUUUACUCUAGGAUACAUAAUAAUACUAUUUCCUUUCCGCUUUACUUUGUCAAGAGGUCUUCCAACUAAAAGCAAAAAAGGCCAAUAAACCCAAAUCAAAUUUCAAUAUCUAAGAAGAAAGCCUACAUCAAAAUUGAUUUACAAAGAUAUAUAAAGAAACCAUUUAAGACAAACUCUGCCACCAAGAAAAGAAAAAAAAAAGAAAAAAAGGUAGCAGUAUAACCUGAAGAAAAGGUAAAAAAAAAAAAAUCACGCCACCACUAAGUCGUUCCCUUUGUGCCCAAUGCUGCCGCUGCCGAUGAGUUCGCCGUUGUUCAGGAUUCCGAUAAACUCUUUUUCUUUACCAAAUCAAAACAAAUUUAGAAGAAAAUUUUGUCAAAAAGAAAUAACAUUUAAGCAUGCCCUAAAUACAAAACAACUUAAAAUAAUUUUUAAAAAAGGAGCAAACCAAUUCUCUCCCUCUCCAGACCGAGGAAUUCUACACUGUCACACUUGCACCACGUCAUCAAUAACAAGCCAAUCACAUUCCUUCUUUUUUAAACAAAAGUACAAUAAAAAUGCUUUUUUACAAUCAUGAUGGGACAUAUAUUCUUAAAAGGAUUAAUUUGAUUGGUUUGUUACGCCACGUCACUAAUACACCCGUUGCAUUCUAGAAUUUUUCCUCCAGACCACUCUUUUACUAAUGCUCUCUCUUUGUGUUUUUAUUUCAGCUCCUGUGUGUGUGUAUGUUGGGCCUCAACCACCACCACUAAACUCCAUAGAUGAGUUUACAAAAAAUUGUAGAGAGAGAGAGAGAGGGAAGAGAAAGAGAGAGAUGAAAGUCUUAAUAGAGAGGGAUGUAAAAAAGAUAAAUACAUCCCCUCUGAGAGGCAGAGAUGUAAGUACAGAGAGCCCAUGUGAAAGAGAGAGAAAGUGAGAAAAAAAUAAAAUAUCUACAAGAACUAAAACUUUAGAUUUAAAAAAAGGCACCGUAGCUUAACGACGGAACGCCGAUUUCGAAUAAGUUUUUUUUCUUCACCAAAUCAAAGCAAAUGUAGAAAAAAAUUUCAUUCAAAAAAAUUAAAAUUUAAGCGGGCCUUAAAUACUAAAACAUCUUAAAAUAAUUUUAAUAAAAGGGGAAAAAAAAAAGGGAGCAAACCAAUUCUCCCUCUCUCUUGACAAUUCUUUUACUGUGUCUCUCUCUUUGUGAUUUUUUUUCCCAAGCUCCUUUGUGUGUGUGUUUGGUUAGAAAAAAUUAUAAAGAGAGGAAAGAGAGAGGGAAAGAUGUAAAAGAGGUAAAUACACCUCCUUCUGUGAGGGAGAGAGAUUCAAGUACAUAGAGUCCAUGUGAAAGGAAGAGAGAGCUCGUGAGAGAGAGAGAGAGAGAGGGGGGAGAGAGAGAGAGAGAGAGAGUGAGAAAAAAUUAAUAUAUUUACAUGAACUCAUAUUAAAAAAAGUGACGUGGCUUACCGACGGAACGCCGUUUGGCUUCUCCUUAGUAUAGAGUGACGGAACGCCGUUUUCCGAUAAACUCUUUUUCUGCACCAAAUCCAAACAAGUGUAGAAAAAAAUUUCAUUAAAAAAACUAAAAUUUAAGCAAGCAUUAAAUGCUAAAACAUCUUAGAAUAAUUUUAAUAAAAAGGAAAAAAAAUAGGGAGCCAACUAAUUCCCUCUCUCUCUUUACCAUCCUUUUCCUGCUUUUCUCUCUUUGUGAUUUUUUUUUUCUGAGCUCCUUUGUGUGUGUGUGUUGGGUUAGAAAAAAACGGAUAAUUGCUUAUAUACUCCUAAAAACUUUCUGACUUUCUAAUUUACCCCUCUUAGAAGACUAAUAUUGAAAAUAUUCUUUUUACGUUCCAACCUAUUUUCAAUAUAUCCCUAGAGUUAAAUUCUGUUAAUGAACUGUUAGCAAUAGCUGUUAUCUCUAUAAAAUUACUAUUUUGUCCUUUCCAAUAUACUCUUCUACCAUUACCAACUUUUCUUAUUUGUCCUUAAGUUAGGGGCACAAAAAGUAUUUUAAUUUUUGGUCUUUUCGAAUAUACUCUUCUACCAUUACCAAAAUUUCUUGUUUGGCCUUAAGUUAAGGGCAAAAGAAACAUUUUGAUUUUUUUUUAACUCUGGUAGAUAUUUAACUCACGUUUAAUUUAAGUUAACUUAACGGGGGAUAACUGUAGGGAUAUUUUAGAAUAACGGAGGAAUAUAUGACGGGUAUAUUGGAAAGAAAAAAAAAAGUAGGUAUAAAUGAGAUAUAUAGGUAAUUAUCUCUAGAUAAAAUUAUAGAGAUGGAGAGAUGAAAGUUUUAAUAGGAGAGAGAGAUGAAAAAGAGGUAAAUACAUCCCCCUCUGUGAGAGAAAGAUGCAAGUAUAUAGAGCCCAUGUAAAAGAAAGAAAACCCAUGUGAAAGAGAGAGAAAGAGUGAGUGAGAAAAAAUUAAUACAUCCAUAUGAACUCAUAUUACAAUUUAUAAAAAAGCAAUGUGGCUUAACGACAGAACUACUGUUUCACUUUUUUUUUUUUUUUUUUUUUUUUUUUUUUCUGAGCUCCUUUGUGUGUGUAUGUUAGGUUAGAAAAAAUUAUAGAGAAAGAGGGAACAGAGAGGGAGAGAUGAAAGUUUUAAUGGACGAGAUAGAGACGUAAAAGAGAUAAAUGCAUUCUCCUCUGUGAGAAAGAGAUAUGCAAGUACAUAGAGCACAUGUGAAAGAGAGAGAGCCCGUGUGGAAGAGAGAAAGAGAGAGAAUGAGAAAAAAUUAAUACACCCACAUAAACGUAUAUUACAAAAAAACGACGUGGCUUAACGACGGAACACUAUUUGAUUUCUCCUUUCGUAUAGAGUUUAAUAGAUCACGGUUUAAUUUUGUAUUCUAUAUGGGACUCUUAUUUUUUUAACAUAAACAAUGCAUUAAUGUAAUGAUUAAAGUAGCACAGUAACAAUGGAGAAAGGCAUGUCAAAUUAUUAUUCUAGAUAAUAAUUGAGAAUUGAGAAGUAAUUAAAAGAGACAGUUGUUUCAAUAAAAAAAAUUUUGGAGUAUUACUAGCUUGAAAUAACAAUCUUAUUUUGGGGAGAGUUAAAUAAGUCCUACAUUUGACAAAAUAUACCUUCCUUAUCUCUCUAAGCUUUGACCAUAUUAAUGAAAUAAAUUAGCCUCAAAUAAUCAGGUAUUAUUAUUACAUGAAAAUGCUAAAAACAGAUACAACCUCAAAGCUAAAAUUUCUUAAAUUAUAAUUGGUCUAGUAAAUUACUACAUAAAAUAAACAGAUAGGAGAUUAGAGAGACCUAAACUCAUUUAUCGUCGGAAAUAAUGUUAAGGGAUGUUUAUACAAAGACCAUCCAAACUUUUGCAAAUAGAUUUCUGAACUUCUAAUUUUGGUAAUUGGGUUCUCUAAACUUUAUCAAAUAGCUUAAUAUGCCUAUGCCGUGAAGUGAACUUAGAGAAGCUAUAAUUAUACAAUCGUUUUGCUUGCAUAUCUUUCACGCGGGCUUGUAAAAUCGUUUAAAAAUACUGUGUAUAGCUUACAUGUGUAUAUAUGAAUAUAUAUAUAUAUUGUAUGUGUGUGUGUAUAUAUGUAUAUAUAUGUGAUGUAUAUAUGUAUAUAUGUGUGGUAUAUAGUCGUGAUAUAUAUAUAUAUAUAUAUAAUUGGGCUGGAAUACUAUUAAUAGUAUUUGGCAGUUUUUACUAUCGAAUUUUUAACUCUUGAAUGAAAAAUUGUAAGAUUAGGAUUAUAAUGGUCUCCUAGCUAGGGUUUAGUAGCAUUCAUUCUAGAAUUGAAUGGGUGGUUAGUUGAAUAAUAUAAUCUAUAAUAUGAAAUUAAUGAAAGUGUAGAUUGAACGGCUAAAAAUCAAUAGUAAAAGAUUCCAAAUACUAUUAAUAGUAUUCCAGCUCAACUCUCUCCCUCUCUCUCUCUAUAUAUAUAUAUAUAUAGUAGGGUUAUUAUACUAUUAGGAGCACAACAAUGACUGUGCUCUUAACAGCAUAGUAGACAUACUCUAUAUAUAUAUUCUUCUAACUAUAAUAAUAAUUACGCAUGAAAAUUGAAGAAUAAGGUGAAUUUUUCUUAAUUUUUUUAUUACUUUUGUAGGCAUUUGAAUCGAAAAAAUAAUUUUUUUUUUAAAAAAAAGCUUUAUAAAAUUAUAUUAAAAUAUGCGACCAAAACGGCGGUGUUAGUACCUUUAAUUAAGGAAAUGAGCCUGUUGAUUAUUUGAUAAAGUUUUAAAAAAAUUAAUUGCUAAGAUUAGAAGCUAAGUUGUCUAUUAACAAAAGUGUUAAGGUUCAAAGGGUCUUUGUACAUUUUUUUUUCCCUAUCGAAUUUAGUAUUACGCGGACUCGGAAUUCAUUCACGACAAAAUAACUAUUCCUUGCUUAUCCCCAAAAAGAAGCAAAAUUUUUGACUUCUCGAAUUCAAAAUAGAGAUUCGAAUCUUCGAAAGCCACACUUACUUUUAAUACAGAAGCCGCAAUUUCUACGCCUCUUUUUCGCAAAAGCCCCAAAUUCUGAGCUUCUUCCAGCAGCAAAUCUUGGCUUGUGGAAUGGUCAGAGAACAGCACUCUUAAUGGGAACAGAAAUGGUCAAGAGGUCGGCUGACGGGCGAAAACUCGACUUCAAAAGCUUCUGCUUCUAGCUACAGCAAAAAAAACUGGAUAUUAAUCAAAACAUAAAACAAUUCUAGAUCAGCUACAGGCGAAAACUCGACUUAAAAAGGUUCUGCUUCUAGUUACAGCAAAAAGAACUGGAUAUUAAUCGAAACAUAAAACAAUUCUAGAUCAGCUACAGGCGAAAACUCGACUUAAAAAGCUUCUGCUUCUAGUUACAGCAAAAAGAACUGGAUAUUAAUCGAAACAUAAAACGAUUCAAGAUCAGCUACAGACGAAAACUCGACUUAAAAAGCUUCUGCUUCUAGUUACAGCAAAAAGAACAGGAUAUUAAUCGAUAUAUAAAACAAUUCUAGAUCAGUUACAGGUGAAAAGUCGACUUAAAAAGCUUCUUCUUCUAGUUACAGCAAAAAGAACUGAAUAUUAAUUGAAACAUAAAACAAUUCUACUCCGGCAAAGACAAACUAGUCCUUACAUGAGACUCCACCAAAAGGAAAAUCAUAACCUCAAUUUUAGCUUAAGGACCCUUUUAUCCACUAACCAGGCAAUAAUAAUUAAAAAAAAAGGGUUUUCAACCUGCUAAAGCAGUUAUAUUAUCAUAAGCAUAAAGCAAGGGGGAAAAAAAAAAAAAAAAAAAAAAAACAGACACACAGGGUGCACUUGUUUCACUAAAAAUAGAGAGUGCAAUAAUUUUGAAAUGUAAAUGCCCACUUCCAUUAUUUGGUUUACCACGACUUCACCUUCGGUCGAAAAUUGAGGGAAUAAAUAUAUAUAAUAUUAAUUCAUUUCUCACAUCUCUAACUUUUACACCAUUCACUCUCUGUUAAACAAACAAUAGAAUUGAGAGAACUUCAGUUUGAAAGAGAAGCAACUUUUACCUAAACUUUAAUUCGUCUGAAAAUCUAUUUCGAUAUGAACUUCACCGGAAAGUGAUACAAACAGAUGCACGGGAGGAGUCAGUCAAUACAGCUACAGGAAGAUGACACAAUGAUAAUAACACAUCACAAAAAGCUCAGCAUAAAUGGCUUUGCCAAUGUUUUCAUCUUUAGACAUAGCAAUCAUAUAUCAAGAAAUAUUAGACAUUAUCGAAAAGGUAGAAGGUCCGAUAUAUUGUCCUGGUAGGUUUCGCUCCAGAAGGAAUUUAAAGUAUAAAACAAUAAAUUAUCUGUUCGUUAAGUACAGCACCAAUAAAAGCCUACUCAUUCAAACAGCAAACCUAGUCAACCCCAACCUCUUUAAAGCACAUAGAAAACAGUAAUCACAUUUUAUCAUAGUAAUGGAGAUUGUUCAAAAAGAAAAUUUACAAACAAGAAACAUACGUAUCAAGUUGACUCAUAAAGAAUCCUCAUGAGCCUCACUCCAUGAUUUUUUGGUGGUCACUGAUUAUUCACAUAUAAUGCCUUUUUAGUGAAUGAUACUCGUUGAUGAAUUCACAACAACGCUUUGAGGAGUUCUAAACUACAGGGUUAGUUACUAGAAGAUACUCGGAAAAUUCUUCGAAAGUUUUUACCAGAAAUGGCAUUUAAUGCGCAGGACUACACACACUUCAUGAUUCACAUUCAUAUGCUCUCUAAAAACAACAUAAUGAAGAGAUUUGAAGCUUACAAUGACCUUACUCUUAUGCCUCCAUUGGCAACAAAACGUACAGUACAAAACGACAUGUAAAUUUUGCAGAAUAAAUCAGUCUCAAAAAUGUAUCCUACUUAAUCCUCAUGAAUUUCUUUAACAAAAGAGAAUACCAUGUCAGUAUAAUUGUCUAUACAAUUAUACUUGCAAAUACUUUGACGCAAAAGAUGUAAGCCUCAUUACUUGUUGUAUGUAAAAUAUUUUCUCUUAAAUAGAAAAAUGAUCCUGGGAAAUAUUCACUAAUGGACAAUGUUGAUGGUGCAAAAAAAAUAUCAUCAAUGUAAACUGACGAGACAAAAGGCUAUAAAAAUCUUGCAGAUUAAAUAUAAUAACAGCAAAAACUAAUCAGAAAACAUCUUGUAGAUCAAAAUCUAAAUACCCCAAAGUAAUCAAAUCAAGAGCUGACUAUUUUAUUCUAAAUUGCUUCAUUUUAAUAGUAAAAACACCAUUAUCUGACGACCUGACAGGAAGUGUUGGCUUAAGUCACAUCAAUCAAUAUAAUAUGGAAGGUUAAGUAACCUGCGAAAGCAGAGUCUCAUCAGUGGGGAGCCUCAGGUCAUCCUUUGUGUUCCCAUUCUCAGACAGAAGACUCACCUACAGGACAACAUCUCAGGUAAGUUAAUUUACAAGCAGGGUUUAGUUCACUCAAGUCUUAUUAUUGGAAAAAUAAUGAUGGGGCAAAAAAAAGGAAAAAAAACCUAACAGUCAAAAAGAACCAAAAUGUAAAACUACUUGGAAAUCAGCGUUGCAUACUUAACUACAGCAAGAGAGAUUACAAAAAGACAUACAAAGCCAUCUUCAGAUAUAUCAAUAAGUUGAUAGUCCGUGCGAGUGACACGACGGACCUGAAAAAUUAAACACAAUUGUCAAACACCACAUUAGGUUGUCGGAUACUGUGUCUCUAAGAAAGUUAAAAUUAAAAAGAGGAUACAUCAGAGUUAUGGGAUGAAGGCACAAUAUCAUCAAGCUUCUCGGAGUUGAAGAUAUCAAUCCCAACAAAGUGGCACUUGGCAUGACCGUGCUUGCCAGUUUUAGAUGUUGAGAUAUCAAAAACCUAUGAGUCCAAAAAGGCAAAUUAAAUUGAAGGCAAGUUCAAUCUUAAAAAAAUAUAAAUAACAACAAUAUUCACCAGAGUCAUUAAUAUUUUUAGGACAACAUAUUCAUCUUCAGAAAUUGCAUUUCAACAGUAAGCAUAGCAUUUUCCAUAAGUUAUAUAUGGACACAAAGCUUACAGAACAAAACUACCAUAACAAUGAAAUCAGAAAAAGCAAAGAAAACUCUGCUGAAUUACACGUCAUCUCAUAGUGGCGCUCCACAAAGUAAACAAAUAACAUAUGUUACAUCUUCCCUAGGUAAUGUGUAACAAGAGUAUCCCCCUGGAUUCUGACUUGCUUUAACUGAAUUCAAUUUGUUGCUUACUAAAAAACCAAAUGGAAGUUGGCAGUCUUCUGCAAGUAUAUUAACAUGUAAGUUCAAAGUUAUUGUUAUGGAAAAUAAGAAUUAAGAUCAACUAAUUUUACUUGAGCCCUCAACUAUGAUGCCAAACACAUCAUCCUAUUUGGUACAUUGAGGAGCUAGGAUCAGGUGAAACUGCAGCUAGGAAUCCAUGGUAUGAUGAAUGGAUUAGUGACUAUAAGCGGAAAGAAAGGGACCAUGUGCACUAAUCUGCUUUCAUACACAUCUACACUAAAGAAUAAUGAGAAGAUAGAAAAGAAAAAGAGUGCAAGUAGGCAUAAGGCUUGGAACCGAGGAUCUAAGAUAAGGAAGCAAAAAACACCUUCCCACUAAGCUAGAUGAUAAUUGCAGCCGAAAUUUCAAAAAUCCCAUGUGUUGCCUACAAUAUAUAAAUAUUGCUUUCGCUUUCUGGCACUUUGCAAACACAUGAUCAUAUUCUCCAUGAUACCGCUGACCUAUUAAUGACUUAUUCAUGGAAAAUUAGAUUCAAGUGCAUUUCUAACGUCAAUGUUAAAACUAUUUUUGUUGUGUAAGAUUAUACCGUUAGGUCAUUUUGUAAUAUAAAUUUGGCCACUGUGAAAUCCAUCAAGCCGACCUGCGCAAAAAUUUCGACGCCGUAAUCAUUAAUGGUGAUGGAAGGGUAAUAACAGUAAGGGGAAAAUAGAAAUGUUGGAAUUAAUUUCUAUCUUCAUAUACAUCAUGUUCAGUUGGUGUGUGGCUAAGGUAAAAUAAUAAAAAUCCCUUAAUGUGGACAUCAAAUUCUAGGAUCAAUCUUCAUAUAAAUGUGAUCAGGUCAAUAAAUCUAGUCUAUCUUACUAAUCUAUGAGCUAGCAAGUUCAUGUAAGUCACCCUGAUUUUACUGGACUAAAGAAGCCCUGUCAGCAUUAAUCUAGCACGACUAGCAGUUAUUCUUAUGUCCAAUUCAUUGCCAUCCCUAUGGAAAAACAUAUUUUGAUCUUUCUGUUACAUAGCCUCUAGUACUAGUACUAUAUAAAUACUAAUUUGUCUACUACGGGUACUACAACUCAUGAACUCUGAAAGCACUUCACUUUACUAACUUUCCGAUUUCCAUUAGUCAAUCUCCAUAAUGAUUCUUCAACAAUAAUUUCUCAUAGUCGCAGCCAAUUCCAUAUAGCACAGCCAAUGCUAACAAAAGACUUCAACUAAGAAAUUAAUGUCUAUCCUUCAUCUAGCUAGUCUCCUCAAGAUUUGCUAUUAAAAAGUCAGUGCAUGACCAUGUUCUACUGCUAGUGAUUAUUACGUAGCUGGUAAAAAAAUGUACAAAACUUAUUUGACCUAUGAGCCAUUUUGAGUUGACUACCAAUCUUUCAAAAUUUUGAUUUUACCAACAUUUCAAUUUGUUUGAUUUUACUAAACUUGGAAAGACAAUCAACGCAUUUGAAUUUUGAAAUCAAAGUACCAUUGACUAACUCAAAUUAAACAAAUUAAAAUAUUGGCCGGUAAAAUCAAAAUUUUGAAAGGUUGGAUAAACUCAAAAUAGUUCAUAGUUUAGGUAAGUUCUGUACGUUUUUACCUAGCAUAGUUUGAUGUCCUUCUUGCACGAAACCAAGAUAAAUCUUUAACUUGAUUCUCCAUAUUCCCAAUAACUUUGCCUCAAAAUAUUAGUUAAAAAUCAGAAAAGAAAAAUGAGGCCUAAAUUAAAUUGCAACACCGUAAAAGUUCAUAAUAUGCUUGCUUAAACCAAAAACCGCCUCCGCCAUAUUUUGAACUAUCAAUCUCAAGAGUAAUCUUUAUGAUCUACUUCUCGUGAUUAUUACACCACUCUAACAACAACAUCAACAACAAAACAUCCAAUUUCUCAAGCUAAGAUUUAAAUCUCAUCCAUUACACACAAAAUUGUGAUUACGCAACCAAUCAAAAACAUCAAAUUUUCGGCAUCUAACAACACCGAAUCAUGAGCUCAAAUCAACUGAAUCAAAAACUGGGGGCUAGGGUUUGAGGACGGGAACCUUGCAGGGUCGGCCCUUUGACGAUGUACCCGUUCUUGCGGAUCGCCCCCGCUUGUUGAGGGUACGUCUUCGAGGCGCCCGCGUCGGCCUUCGACUCGAAUUGGUGUUCCUCGUCCAUUGUUGAGCGAUGAAGGGAAUCGAGGAGGAGGAGGAGCAAUGGAGAAGCGAGAGGAGAGGAGGGCUGGCAAAUGAGCGAGCCGGCUCGCGUUCGACUCGUGUUCGACUCGAUACUUGGCUCGCUCGAGCUCGAAUCGAAAUUAAAUAAGCCGAGCUUGAACAAAGAAAAAGGCUUGAAAUUUAUUUCAAGCCAAGUUUGAGUAUUACUCGGCUCGUUCGAAUUAGGCUCGAAAAGCUCGAAUAUAUAUAUAUAUAUAUAUAUAUAUAUAUAUAUAUAGUAGAGCUACUAUNNNNNNNNNNNNNNNNNNNNNNNNNNNNNNNNNNNNNNNNNNNNNNNNNNNNNNNNNNNNNNNNNNNNNNNNNNNNNNNNNNNNNNNNNNNNNNNNNNNNNNNNNNNNNNNNNNNNNNNNNNNNNNNNNNNNNNNNNNNNNNNNNNNNNNNNNNNNNNNNNNNNNNNNNNNNNNNNNNNNNNNNNNNNNNNNNNNNNNNNNNNNNNNNNNNNNNNNNNNNNNNNNNNNNNNNNNNNNNNNNNNNNNNNNNNNNNNNNNNNNNNNNNNNNNNNNNNNNNNNNNNNNNNNNNNNNNNNNNNNNNNNNNNNNNNNNNNNNNNNNNNNNNNNNNNNNNNNNNNNNNNNNNNNNNNNNNNNNNNNNNNNNNNNNNNNNNNNNNNNNNNNNNNNNNNNNNNNNNNNNNNNNNNNNNNNNNNNNNNNNNNNNNNNNNNNNNNNNNNNNNNNNNNNNNNNNNNNNNNNNNNNNNNNNNNNNNNNNNNNNNNNNNNNNNNNNNNNNNNNNNNNNNNNNNNNNNNNNNNNNNNNNNNNNNNNNNNNNNNNNNNNNNNNNNNNNNNNNNNNNNNNNNNNNNNNNNNNNNNNNNNNNNNNNNNNNNNNNNNNNNNNNNNNNNNNNNNNNNNNNNNNNNNNNNNNNNNNNNNNNNNNNNNNNNNNNNNNNNNNNNNNNNNNNNNNNNNNNNNNNNNNNNNNNNNNNNNNNNNNNNNNNNNNNNNNNNNNNNNNNNNNNNNNNNNNNNNNNNNNCUCGAAUUAAUUUCAAUCCAAGCUUGAGCUUAAAUUUAGGCUCGAAAUUAAUUUCAAGCCGAAUUUGAGCCGAGGUAAGCUCGCUCGAGCUCGGCUCGUUUCCACCCCUAGAGGAGAGUGGGAGAGGGGAGGAUUAUAGAGUGAGCUAGGGUUUCUUUCCCGUUUGGAGGACGAUCGAGCUCCACCGUUGGAUGGUGGGACACAUGAUCAUGAUCUACGGUUAGAGAUGAUAUACGAUUAAUUUGAAAUUAUUCGAACGCUUGAACCCGCUCACUUAAAUCCCUUUUAUAUAAAAUUUUAGAUAUUUUGAUAAAUUAAAAUUAACAUUUAAAAAUUUUAAAAAUUUUACAAUUAUAAAUUGAAAUUUAAAUAUUUAAUUUGAAUUGAUAAUUUUUAAAACAUAAAACUAUAGCACAUAGAAUUCAUUUUGAAAAUUAAAAAUAAAAUUUCAAUUCAACAUUAGAAUUACGCCUUUGAGUUAAAAAUUCGAAAACAGAGCACAGUUGAAAUUUAUAUUCGAUUCAAAACUCAAAGCAAAAAUUUAGUCCAAAAUUUGAACUUUAAUUAAAAGAAUCGUAAUUCAAAGUUUGAAUUUUUAAUUUGUCUUAAAAUUUAAAUUUUAAUUAUGCAUAUUAGUCCAUUUUGUUUAAGAGAUAAUUAUAAAAUUUUGUACAUAUUGUAUUACUAUUAGUCAUUAAAAUAUUUAAGUUAAAAGUCGUACAAACCGCACCCAAGUUUUAACAAAUUUUGAAGUGAUUGUAUGAGCUUUACUAAUUUUGUUUACCAUCUAAUUUUUACAUUUCUUAUAAUUGAAAGAAACUUACAAAUAUUUUACUAAAUAAUAUCAUAUUAUAUUAUUAUUAGAAUUAUUCUUAUUCGCAUCAGGAAAAAAAAAAACUUUUUUUCUUUUUUUUUCUGUCCUUUUCUUUUUUUUGACUUUUUUUUAUUAAAAAAUUACUAAUUUUGAGAUUUUGUAAAAGUGGGUCAUUAUUUUAAAUAUUGGUCAAAAUAUUCUUAUUCCUUUUUUCUCUUUUUUUUUUUUAUCUCGUUCUUUCUUUUUUCUCUCCAACAUUAUCGCUUCUUCCACCGUUUUCAUAGCUCUCGAUGACGAUAACGAAAACAGUGCCGCCUUUUCUUCCUCCACUCCGGCUCCAUCGUCGCUGGCAUUGAGGCAGUGCUCGUUGUUAUUCGUGAGGGUGAAGAUAANAACAAAUUUUGAAGUGAUUGUAUGAGCUUUACUAAUUUUGUUUACCAUCUAAUUUUUACAUUAAAGGAAAUUGUUUUAGCAUCUUGUCCCCAAAUAAAGAUAAUAUCAUAUUAUAUUAUUAUUAGAAUUAUUCUUAUUCGCACAGGAAAAAAAAAAACUUUUUUUCUUUUCUUUUCUGUCCUUUUCUUUUUUUUUGAUUUUUUCUUAUUAAAAAAUCACUAAUUUUGAGAUUUUGUAAAAGUGGGUCACUAUUUUAAAUAGGCCUUUUUGCAUAAAAAAAUCCACUUAUUUUGGGCUUUUGCAAAACCGGGUCACAUUUUUCGUUUUUGCAGAUUCGGUCCGCUUUUCCAGCAAACUGACCAAAAUACCCUUAUUACUUUUUCUCUUUCCUCUUUCUCUCUCCUCUUCGUUUCUGUCGUUCUUUUUUUUUUUUUUCNNNNNNNNNNNNNNNNNNNNNNNNNGGAGAAGGAAAGACGGGAAGGGCAGGGAAGAGCGAGAGAGGCGCCGUCGUCGGAAACUGUGGAGGAGAGUCAGAGAAGAAAAGAAAAGAAAAAUGCAAAAAAAAAAAGUCACAGCCCGGCCUUAGGGCGAUCGGAGGCGAGGAAGGUUGGGGCGCCGGCGGCGACGCCGCUCUGUCUUCGCCGCUCUCUGGGAAGAGAAAGAAAAAAACAGAACGAGAGAAAAAAAAGAAAAGAAAAAGGUAUAAGGGCACCUCCGCUCCGUCUUCGCCGCUCUCUAGGAAGAAAAAGAAAAAAGAACGAGAGAAAAAAAGAGGAGAGAGAAAGAGGAAAGAGAAAAAGGUAUAAAGGUAUUUUGGUCAGUUUGCUGAAAAAGCGGACCGAAUCUGCAAAAACUAAAAAGAUAGCCCGAUUUUGCAAAAGCCCAAAAUAAGUGGAUUUUUUAUGCAAAUUGGCCUUUUAAAUAUUGGUCAAAAUAUUUUUAUUUCUUUUUUCUUUUUUCUUUUUUUUUAUCUCAUUCUUUCUUUUUUCUCUCCAACAUUAUCGCUUCUUCCACCGUUUACAUGGCUAUCGAUGACGGUAACGAGAACAAUGCCGCCUUUUCUUCCUCCACUCCGGCUCCAUCGUCGCUGGCAUUGAGGCGGUGCUCGUUGUUAUUCAUGAGGGUGAGGAUAGAAACGCACUCGUGCUUCUCCAAAGAGCGAAAGAAAAAGUAAGAGGGUAAAAGAAAAAUAAAAAAAAUAAAAAGAGAAAAAAAAAAAGAAGUGCGGUUGAGCGGGUGGGGGCUCUGGGAGCACGGAGGAGAGCGAGGAGGGAGGAAAGGAGAAGCCGCUUUGAGACAAUAUAGUAGGUCUCUGCGGCGAGAAAGCUUCGAAAAAGAGUAUAAUUUUUGUUUCAAAUAGUAUAAUUUUCGUCUCAAAUAGUGUAAUAUUCGUCUCAAACAGUAUAAUUUUUUUAAAAUAGUGCAGCUUUAUUUGAACAUAGCGACUUCAUCUUCUUUUUCCUCCUUUUCUGAUUUUUGAUUUUUUCUGUAGCAACAACGAUAUAUUUUCUUUCAAGAAGAAAAUUAAUAUUUUUUAUUUUUUAUUUUUUAUUUAUCCUCUAUCUUUUUUCGCUUCUUGGGGAAACGAGGGUGUGUCUUCGUCCUCAUUCUCAUCCUCACGGGCGACAAAGACACUGCUUCGGCCACGAUCCGACAUCGGUGGAGGUGGAGGAAAAGAAGGCGCCCGAAUUUAUAAAAAUUCAAAAUAAUCGUCCACUUUUACAAAAUAUCAAAACUAAUAGUUUUUUAAAAUACAAAUUGGCCUUUUUUUUCUCUCUCCUAUUAACUCAGUUCGAAGAAAAUAUUAAGACAUAACAAAUAUAAAACGACAAUAUAUUUGAGCUAUAGGAUGAUAAAAUAGAAACGCGCUAAUAUCCAUGGAGACAUAGCGAAGUUUACUCUCUUUUUAAACCCAACCAAGUACAGCAAAUUGAAAAUAAUUAAGCUGGGCCAUGGUGGAUCAAUACUUGAUUUUCUAGGCCUAAUUUUUCAAUACAUGACUGUACUUACUGGAUUGGGUCGCAUUUGAACUACAUAAAAUUUUGGGUUAUAUCAGCAAAAUCAGGUUCGUCCUUUUUUUUAUUUAUAUANCUACAUAAAAUUUUGGGUUAUAUCAGCAAAAUCAGGUUCGUCCUUUUUUUUAUUUAUAUAUAAUUUUUUGAAUACUCUUUUGAAAUAACAAUUCUUUCCUGGCGUGACGAAAAAAUUAUUAGGUAUUUUUCAAAUCCAAACGUUUGGUAUCCUACGAAUUAGUGAAUAGUGUAAUUUCAUAAUUGUCCCUCCAUAGCUCAAAAUAUCAUCAACGCCCUCAUAAAUAUUAAAAUAUUCUGAAAUGCUACUAGAAAAAAUUCAUUCAAAUUUAAUAUGUUAGUUCUAAAAUUUAUUGUUACCCUAAAUACAACUAAAAAUUUAGUAAGCUUAUCACCAGGAAAGCAAUUUUUAUAAUUUUAACAAUUUUUAGGAAAAAAAGCUAACCAAAUAAAAGUGAUAAUUCAUGCUAUAAGUUGCAAGUAAAUUUAAAAUUUUUAUUCUAAACACACAAAAAAAAAAAAAAUCCAAAAAUAGCAUGUAGGGAAGCAAAUCUCUUACAAAUUUUUAUCACAAUUAAUCCGCGCUGUUUUAUAUAGGCGGUGCGAAAUCCAGCUAAAAUCCAGCAACGAGAUCAAUCCCGCGCCAAGGAUUCCAUACGCAUGGGUUUGCACCCAAUUCAAAUCUGGAUCUGAAUAUAAGAUCAUUAUCAUUAUUUAGAGUAGUUGAAUUGGAUCUUCAAUUACUAUGACAUGUUGAGAAAAUAAAAUUUGCGACUAUUCUAAGCCAAAAAUAAUAAAAAAAAUAACUUAAGGCUCACAACAAUAUGAAAUUUAUAUAUUAGACUUUCUAGUACGACGACCACUACAACAGAAUUAGGUUAUAGGGACACAUGUUUAGGACACUUUUGAGUAAGUGUCUCAUUUAUGCUAAAAUUUAAAAAAAACAUCUACUAAUGCCUAAAUAUAAAGCCCAAUCCAACCAAAAAUAAAAGAUUACUCUACUCAACCCACCACACCCAGUCUAUUUCGCCCGAUUACAAACAGAGAAGAAAAAAAAAAAGAAAAAUCAAUUACCAUCUUUUCUUCUCUCUUCACUCAAUUCACUGAAAUUCCAGACGAAAAGCCUUUCUUGUCGUCCUCCUCCGCCACCGCAGCCAACGAGAUAGAAUUUCGACGGUUGCUAAAUAUUUAAAUAACUUUUGGUAAAUUAGCAGCACUCUUUUAGUUUAUAGCGACACUCUUUAACUGUCACUAUAUACCUAGCGACCCCACAUAUAGCAACACUUUUUAAAAGUGUCGGUAAUUUUAGCUAGCAGCACUUUUUUGACAUGUACCUAUAUUUAAAAGUGUCGCUAUAGACCGUUUUUGUUGUAGUGGACCUCCUUAAUUUUAUUGAUAUCGACAUGGAAACUUCUUUUUGUUUUAUUUAGACUUUCUUAAUUUUCUUUUUAUGUUUUAUACUUAGUUAAGUUAAAAAUUUUAUCAAACGAUCAUAAGAUUUAUGAUAAAUUAUUAUCUUUCGAGAGAUAUUAGUGGCAUUUUANNNNNNNNNNNNNNNNNNNNNNNNNNNNNNNNNNNNNNNNNNNNNNNNNNNNNNNNNNNNNNNNNNNNNNNNNNNNNNNNNNNNNNNNNNNNNNNNNNNNNNNNNNNNNNNNNNNNNNNNNNNNNNNNNNNNNNNNNNNNNNNNNNNNNNNNNNNNNNNNNNNNNNNNNNNNNNNNNNNNNNNNNNNNNNNNNNNNNNNNNNNNNNNNNNNNNNNNNNNNNNNNNNNNNNNNNNNNNNNNNNNNNNNNNNNNNNNNNNNNNNNNNNNNNNNNNNNNNNNNNNNNNNNNNNNNNNNNNNNNNNNNNNNNNNNNNNNNNNNNNNNNNNNNNNNNNNNNNNNNNNNNNNNNNNNNNNNNNNNNNNNNNNNNNNNNNNNNNNNNNNNNNNNNNNNNNNNNNNNNNNNNNNNNNNNNNNNNNNNNNNNNNNNNNNNNNNNNNNNNNNNNNNNNNNNNNNNNNNNNNNNNNNNNNNNNNNNNNNNNNNNNNNNNNNNNNNNNNNNNNNNNNNNNNNNNNNNNNNNNNNNNNNNNNNNNNNNNNNNNNNNNNNNNNNNNNNNNNNNNNNNNNNNNNNNNNNNNNNNNNNNNNNNNNNNNNNNNNNNNNNNNNNNNNNNNNNNNNNNNNNNNNNNNNNNNNNNNNNNNNNNNNNNNNNNNNNNNNNNNNNNNNNNNNNNNNNNNNNNNNNNNNNNNNNNNNNNNNNNNNNNNNNNNNNNNNNNNNNNNNNNNNNNNNNNNNNNNNNNNNNNNNNNNNNNNNNNNNNNNNNNNNNNNNNNNNNNNNNNNNNNNNNNNNNNNNNNNNNNNNNNNNNNNNNNNNNNNNNNNNNNNNNNNNNNNNNNNNNNNNNNNNNNNNNNNNNNNNNNNNNNNNNNNNNNNNNNNNNNNNNNNNNNNNNNNNNNNNNNNNNNNNNNNNNNNNNNNNNNNNNNNNNNNNNNNNNNNNNNNNNNNNNNNNNNNNNNNNNNNNNNNNNNNNNNNNNNNNNNNNNNNNNNNNNNNNNNNNNNNNNNNNNNNNNNNNNNNNNNNNNNNNNNNNNNNNNNNNNNNNNNNNNNNNNNNNNNNNNNNNNNNNNNNNNNNNNNNNNNNNNNNNNNNNNNNNNNNNNNNNNNNNNNNNNNNNNNNNNNNNNNNNNNNNNNNNNNNNNNNNNNNNNNNNNNNNNNNNNNNNNNNNNNNNNNNNNNNNNNNNNNNNNNNNNNNNNNNNNNNNNNNNNNNNNNNNNNNNNNNNNNNNNNNNNNNNNNNNNNNNNNNNNNNNNNNNNNNNNNNNNNNNNNNNNNNNNNNNNNNNNNNNNNNNNNNNNNNNNNNNNNNNNNNNNNNNNNNNNNNNNNNNNNNNNNNNNNNNNNUUUAUACUAUAUAAAACAAGAUCAAUAUCUUUGAUUUAAAAUUUUAAUGUCAUAUUAUUACAUUUUGUAAGAUUUUUAUUUUCAGCCGUUGAUUUUGAGCCCCUUCGUUCACUAGGCAAAUGAUAUCGUAAAAUUAUAAAAUUUAUUUUCUAGGUACUUCAAAUACUCUAGAUCAAGUUUAACGGAGCCGAUCGACGAUUCGAAAAUCGCAACAUCGAAAACGAGCUGGAAGCACGGAAGGCUCCAUGCUUCCGAUAGCAUAGUAGCCUCACUCUAUAUAUAUAUAUAUAUAUAUAUAUAUAUAUAUAUAUAUAUAUAUAAUUUU
This 60738-nucleotide long non-coding RNA is filed under the name Ananas comosus (pineapple). Its description in RNAcentral is "long non-coding RNA (ACOM_LNC002903)". Lineage: Eukaryota; Viridiplantae; Streptophyta; Magnoliopsida; Poales; Bromeliaceae. The record is from RNAcentral.